RNAcentral lists this long non-coding RNA (51177 nucleotides) under Ananas comosus (pineapple). Its description in RNAcentral is "long non-coding RNA (ACOM_LNC015307)". Lineage: Eukaryota; Viridiplantae; Streptophyta; Magnoliopsida; Poales; Bromeliaceae. The record is from RNAcentral.
AAAUAAACUCAACCGCUACACAUCACUAUACUAUCAUGCUCUACACUAACCAACUGUAGGAAAUGUCAAACCUGACCCAAUCCAAUCGGGACUGUAAGCAUACCCGUCCCCGGGACUGUAAAUACACCCGUCCCUGCCCCGUUACGACUAUCGGGCUCUAUCCACACUAACUGGUUCGUAGAGAGCAAGUCCAACUGGCAUGAGCGACACCAACGCGAAAGCACAAAGCCUGACUCCGGAGUGGCACUCGUGGGCGCUACCCAACCGAGUAUGCAGCGUAUCUCUGUCGAGCUCAAUCAGGCUCCAACUAGCCAAAGUCAAGUAAACAGGGUCAAAACAGGUCUACAAACCAAACCCACGUGCCCUCGGCACAAUCUGUGACCAAAACAAGAAUCUGGGUCCACCGCUAACCCGAACGGCACCCAACGACCCGAAACAGCCUACACUCUGCUGAAAAAUAAGCUCGGCAUCUCAGCACGAGCGUAAAUGCCUUCUAAACUACCCCAGGUACCCAUCGCAACGAUACUGCAACGAUACAAUCGAAUCACGGCUCCUUGAGCUAAAUCUAGUAGUUUAAGCAUAUGACGGGUCAAAACGCAGGUUUUCUCCUAAGUCAAAAUUCAAGUCCAACAUGUAUAAUAUAAACAUUCAUUUCAGCAUGCUUUUAUAUUCAUAUUACAUCCAAAAUGCUAAUCGAUGAAUUAAAGCAUGAUAUACAAAAUCGAACUAUACACGUCGACUAAACAUGUACUUAGGAGCGAAACCGAUGAUACACCCACCUCUAGUGCAAUUCCUGGCAGCAAGAUGGUCUCGGAUCACAAGCAACACUGCUGGAAACACCUCCAAACCAGCAACAAAGCCCCUCAAGAUCUGGAUUUACAAUUCACCCAAAAAUCCAAUAAAACCAUCAAUUUACCAAAAUUUCAGCACUUAAGCUUAAUUAUCUCAAUUCCAAUAUCAAAACUCACCUAAUGAUCUCCAAAUCGGGUGAGGACAGAUCCAAAUCUAGCAACUACUGAUGGGUGAUCAAUCUCAGGUCCAAAAUCCCACUGCCUACAAAGUUAGCAUCAAGAAAAGCUCAAAAAUUCCAAUUUCAGCUCAAAGUCAACAGCAGUCCAGAAAAAUCUCAGUUCGACUAAGCUAACCUCAACCAAAAUCUGUAAUUCAGGGCUUCGUGGAUUCCUCUGGAAGUCAAGAAUCCAGCAAACCAAGUUUCGUCGAAAUCCGACCUUCCUACGUCGCGCACGAGCCAAAAUACUGGAGGUCGUCGUUGAAGAACUGCAGAAUCAGCACUCCAUCAAGCUGGAUCAAUGGAAAUUUGAUGAAAUUUGAGGCAAAUCCGAGGGUAGAGAUGCUAAAAGAGGCUUCUCUAUGAAGAAGGGAGGAAAAGAGCAGCAAAGAGGCGCAUUCCAUCUAUUUAUAGUGAGUUAGAAUAAUCCAAAAAGCCUCAGGAACUCAAGCUGCUAUCCAGUGUCCCUGCAGAAACGGGCGUUUCUGGGCGCCCGGAACCAUGUUCUGGGCGACCAGAACAUCCCGACUGCACAAACCGGGCUCCUCGGACUCUCCGCUCAUGGUGUGCUGCGCCCGUAAAUGGCUCCGGCGGAACUCACCUACCGCCUGCCACGCGUCGAAGCAAGCGAUAUUCACGAUGUCGAAUUUUCGGACCCACAUCUGGGCGCCCGGAACAUGGAAUCCGAAUUGGCUUCCAGUUUCAGUUAAAUUCAACACUCAGUUCUGGGCGACCCUAAAAAUGUUCUGGGCGCCCGAAUCUGGCAAAACUCCAGUUUUGCCUAUUUGAGUGCGCCGAGUCCAAUUCUGCAUCCAAUUCGUGCAGAAUUGACUCUGACUCAGUCCGACACUCUCCAGAGAUGUCGACUAGUCACUAAUACUGAAGCCAAUCCUAUCCAAAGAUCAAGAACACUACAUCCUAAUGAAAUAAGGAUAUGAAUGAAUUAUAUGUUUCUUAUUUAUUAAGAAACAUACUUCUAACAUCCUAAUUGAUAUUUCUAUCCUUAUCUCUAUGUGAGAAUCAGGAUAUCUAUUCUUAUCUUUAUCUCUUUAUAAGAAUUAGGAUAUUUAAAAUGAUCCUGAUAAUCUAUAUGUAUGAACCUUUUUUCUCUGCGAUCUAGUACUUAAGAAAAGUUAAACUGAUUUCUUCCUUCUUUUCUCCGCAUUCUCUUUGAGAUUUUCACCUACAUUUUUGAGGUUUUGGAGGGUUUACGAUAGUGGAGGCUCUAGUAGCCUUCCACGAUCGAUGAUCAAGCAUAGAGAUCUCGACAUGACGUUCAAUCAAAGAUUGAGAAGGUUGUCGCAGAUCUAGGAGGCUGUAAGAUGAGUACGAUGAUCCGACAAGUUCUACUGCUGGAACUACAGUAAGUAUGAGGUUUUAUAAUAGUAGUGUUUUCUCGCUUUUGCAAACACUUCUAAAUAUUCAUUAGUUGCCCAUCUAGUAGUAUUCAGAAAAUUGGGACACUACCAUUUACAACCAUCUUUACAAAGCCAAAGAGAAAAAAAGACCAAGUAUUUAUUAUUGUCUAUAAGUAAUUAACAACACAUCAUUCACUACAAAGCAAAUUAUUGUCUGCAAGUAAUAACACACAUCGUUCACUACAAAGCACAAGCACAAUAAAUAGAAUAAAUCAGCACCAACAAUAGCAACAUGGAGAUACGCAACUUCUACUUCUUAGGGAUUGUCACACUUAUCAUCAUCUCAAACACCCCUUUGAUAUCCUUGUAGGGUGACAUGAGCACCACCAAACCUUCAUUGUUAGAAGAAAAGGAUGAAGGAGAUACCAUAUGGUAUGACACAUGAACCGGCUUAUUCCCUUGUGUUAGUGCCAACUCCUUAAUCCCAAACGGGUCCCAUUGCACCACCUUAAUAAAGUUGUCCAAUUGAAGAUCGAUGGCCGGUGAUGGUUCCUCUACCCUUGUGCAUGAUUCUAUCCUCAAGUCCUUGGGAACACCAUUGCCGUAGUUGAUCAUGAGGCAGAAUUUGUCCACUACUUUACCGUUGACUCUCUCUGUAGCUUCCUUCAGGCAAGAAGACGCGAUCGCCUUGUAGGGUAAUUCGUUUCGGCCUUCAUUGUAAGAUAUUUUGAAUAAAAUAGUGGCAGUACUUGCAGCACCAGAAUCAAAGGGGAUAGAUUUAAGGUACUUGGGGCGGGUGGGCGUCUGGUAGUGGCCAAAGUGGAAAAUUGAGUUUUUCAUAAAGAGGCCUUGGCCUAGCAUUUUGGUUUGAGUUUCCACCGAUGAUUUGAGGAAUUGGAUUAAAAAUAAAGGGUCGGCUAAAAGGAGGCUACAACUGAUUCCAAUAGCGUAUCCAUCCCCUUGAAAUUGUGUCACCUAUAAAAAUAGAUAAAUAAAUGAUUAAAUGAUUAACAUAAAUGAAAAGUUCAGGUGCAUUAACUACCUUUCGGUGUGAUACAUAAUGCCACUUAAUUGUACUAAUAUACCAAGAUAAGAAAUUAGUUGAGAACUUCCUUGCAUAGACCACAUGCACAAAAGAAGUAACUUGUGUUGUAACUUUGUGCAUAUGUAUAUGCACUAUGUACUUAAAAAAGUAUUGAUACAAGGCAUGCUUAUAUGCCUAUGUAUUUCUUUCUUGAUGAUCAUACAAGUGCUGUUUGCAAGAUAUUAAUGCAAAUAUUAGAAUGACUAUAAAUUUCAAUUAUGAAUGCUACAUAUUAUAUAAUCAUUAUUUAGCGCAGUUGAUUGCUAUUCUUAUAAAUACAUUAGAUAUUUUUCAUAUUCCAAAUUAUAUCCUAUCCUAGAAAGUACAAGAGGAUAAUCUGCACUUCACUUUUAGAAGACAAAAUUCUACAAAAAAUAAUUAUGCAACUUUGAACUUCACAUAUGAAAGUUAACUUCACAAAUAAAAACUUUACGUUUUAUGCAUGUCAUAUAUAUUGUAUCUAAUUCUGAUGAUAAUUCUAUAAAUUAUAUUUUAAAAACUUUAUUUAUUUUGUAAAUAAAAAGUGCAUACGAUAUUAAUGGAUUUAUUUGUAAAAAAAAAUCUAUUAUUUUAAAUAUAAAAGUUACCUAGAAGGAUAAAACAAUCAAAAAAUUUGAGCUGAUAAAAUUUGAAGUAGAAUUAUUUUUGCAAUUUUAUUUUACUCUAUGCGGAUUUACUAUCUAGUUUUUAACCCUUUGAUGAAAACUAUAGGGUUAGAAUAAUAAUGGUCCCUUAGAGUUGAGUGGUGGUCACCCCAGGGUUUAGUGGUAGUUGGUGAAAUAGUAUUAAUCUAAUGGUACAAAUAAUUAAAGAAGUAAAUCUAACAGCUAAAGCUGAAUAGCCAAAGGUUCCAAAUGCUAUUAAUAGCAUUCUAGCUCAAUUCUACAUAUAGAGUUGGACUGGAUUACUAUUAAUAGUAUUUGGGCUCUUUUACCAUCAAGUUACCUUUAAUGAAAAUUUCAGGGUUAGGAUGAUAGUGGUCCCCUAGGUUGAGUGGUAGUCUCCCGAGGGUAUAGUGGUAGUUAGUGAAAUCGUAUUGAUCAAAUGGUCGAAACAAUCAAACUAAUGGCUAAAAAUUGGAUAGCAAAAGAGCCUAAAUACUAUUAAUAGUAUUUCAACUCAAAUCUACCUAUAGAGUUUCCUAGAGUUCCCUAGGGUUAAGGCGUGGUCCAGCUCAGUUUUUAACCUCUGGAUGAAAAUUGUAGGGUUAGGAUGAUAAUUGAACCUAUGGUUGAGUGGUGGUCUCCCUGGCUUUAGUGGUAGUUGGUGAAAUGGUAUUGAUCCUAUGGUAGAAAUAAUCAAAAAAGUAAAUCUAAAAACCACUAGACCCUGGAGGACCAUUACUUAACCCUAGGGGACCACUAUCUUCUUAACCGUAUUCCAGCCCAACUAAAUGAGUUGGGCUGGAAUACAGUUAAUACUAUUUGGGCCCUUUUACUAUCCAGUUGUAACCUUUGGAUGAAAACUGUAGGGUACGGAAGAUAGUGGUCCUCUAGUGUUGAGUGAUGGUCGCCUAGGGUCUAGAGGUAGUUGGUGAAAUAGUGUUGAUCUAAUGGUAGAAAUUAUCAGAGUUAAUCUAACAGCUAAAAACAAGAUAGUAAAAAGGCCCAAAUAUUAUUAAUAGUAUUCCAGCCCAACUCUACGGGCGUGUUUGGUUCACUUUUUUUUAACCUUGGAAUCCAAAUCGGAAUAGGCGAAUCCGUUUGUGGGUGUUUGGUACGUGGGAGUCCCAUUCCUAUUCCGAUUCCCGAGUGGAAUGGAAAUCCCCCAGUCACCUCUUUUUCCAAUCCGACCUCCUAGGCCGGAUUGGAAGUUGAAUCGGGACGAAAUGGAUAUUUAUUCAGAUUAAAUUUAUUUUUUCAACAUUUUCAAUUAAAAUAUAAGUUUAAAUUUAGAAAUUAAAUAUAUAAUUUUAAAUUUUAAUUUGAACUUGAAUUAAAAAUUAAAAUUUAAUCAAGUAUUUUGAAUCUAACUUAUGAAUUUGAAUUUAAAUUAAAUUUUAAUUUAUAUAAAGUUUUAUUCAAAUUUUAUUUAAAACUUAAAUUAAAUUUAUGAAUUCAAAUUAAAAUUUAGACUUAAUUUUAAGUUUGAAUUUGAAUAAAUUGAAAUUUAGUUUUAUAUUUUGAAUUAUCUACUCAACUUCAAAGUUUAAUUUUUUUAAAAAAAAUAGAUUUAAAAUUUUGACAUUAUUUCAAAAUUUUGAUGUAAAUUUUCAAUAUUUAAUUUUCAAUUUUAAUUCAAAUUAAUAUAUUAUAAAGAUAAAGCUAGUAUAAUAAUUUGAUUACGUUUUUUAUAUCUACCUAAGGUCCUGAACCAAACACCAACAAUGGGAAUGAUUUAUUCCGAUUCCGAUUCAGGUUGUGAAUCAAACAGAAUUAGGUAAUGAGUCAUUCCAAUCCGAUUCUAGCUUAUUUCGAUUCCGAUUCUGAUUCCGAUUGCGACUUCGAACCAAACGCGACGCCCUAUAUGUAGAGUUGGUUGGAAUGCUAUUAAAAAUAUUUGGGCCCUUUUGCUAUCUAGUUUUUGACCUUUGGAUAAAAAUUGUAGGGCUAAGAUAUACUAAUCCCCUAGGGUUGAGUGGUAGUUGGUGAAAUAGUAUUAAUCCAAUAGUAGAAAUAAUAAAAAGAGUAAAUAUAACGACUAAAAACAGGAUAGCAAAAGAGCCCAAAUACUAUUAAUAGUUUUCUAGCUCAACUUAAUUACAUAUAGAGUUGGCCUGGAAUACUAUUAAUAGGAUUUGGGCCCUUUUAGUAUCCAGUUUUUAACUCUUGAAUGAAAAUUGUAGAAUUAGAAUGAUAGUGGUCCCCUAGGGUUGAGUGGUGGUCCCCCAAGCGUUUAGUAGUAAUUGGUGAAAUAGUAUUGAUCCAAAGAUAAAAAUAAUCAGAGUAAAUCUAAUGGCUAAAAACUAGAUAGCAAAAGGGCCCAAAUACUAUUAAGGGUGUGUUUGGUUCAAGUUAUCCUAACAGGAUUAUAGGCAAUCCUGCCAGGAUUACCGUGUUUGGUUCAUCCGCUAUGUAAUCUAGUCGUUAAUGUAGCAUUAUAAAUCGAGCAGGAUUACACCGAAAAUAUUAACGAGAGGGGGGUCAUGUAUCUUGCAUUACUGAAAACCGGUAAUACUACAUAUUAUGUAAAAUGACAAUUUUACCUCUAACUCUCGAAACCCUUUCAAUACGUUAUUUUUAAAAAAAUAUUGUUUGUAAACAGUAAGAAAAAGUUUACGAAAUAUGGCUAAGGGCAAUUUUGGAAUAGACUAUACUUUAUUGUCCAGAUUACUAAAUUUUAUAAACAGAACCAAAUAUAGUAACGCUAUAAACACUGCAAUCCAGCAUUACAUUACUGUAUUAAACCAAACGCACUAAUACAGCAUCAAUAGUAAUCUCAUUUAGAAAUUCAAAAUAUCUGGAUAUAUCAAAAUACUCUGUAAUAUUACAUAACUCGAACCAAACGCGCCCUAAUAGCAUUUCAGCUCAACUCUACAUAUAGAAUUGGGCUCGAAUACGAUUAAUAAUAUUUGGAUUUUUUUACUAUCCAGUUUUUAACGCUUGGGGGAAAAUUGUAGGGUUAGGAUAAUACUGAUCCCUAGGGUUUAGUGGUGGUCACCCUCGGGUUUGGUUGUAGUUGGUGAAAUAGUAUUGAUCCAAUGGUAUAAAUAAUCAAAGGAAUAAAUCUAACGGCUAAAACUGGAUAGCAAAAGGGUCCAAAUACUAUUAAUAGUAUUUCAGCUCAACUCUACAUAUAGAGUUGGGCUGAAAUACUAUUAAUAGUUUUUAGGCCUUUUUACUAUCAAGUUUUUAACCCUUAAAUGAAAAUUGAAUAGUUAGAAUGAUAGUAGUCACCUAGGGUUAAGUGGUGGUCCCCCUAGGAUUUAGCAUUAGUUGGUGAAAUAGUAUUGAUUCAAUAGUAGAAAUAAUCAAAGGAGUAAAUUUAACAGCUAAAAAUUGGAUAACAAAAGGGCCCAAAUACUAUUAAUAAUAUUCCCGCCAAACUCUAAAUGUAGAGUUGGGCUGGAAUAUUAUUAAUAGUAUUUGCGCUCUUUUACUAUCCAGAUUUUAACCCUUGGAUAAAAAUUAUAGGGUUAGGAUGAUAGUGGUCCCCAAGGGUUGACUGGUGAUCCCUCCAAGGUUUAGUGAUAGUUGGUGAAAUAGUAUUGAUCCAACAGUAGAAAUAAUCAAAGGAGUAAACCUAACGACAAUAAAUUGGAUAGCAAAAGGGCACAAAUACUCUUAAUAGUAUACCAACUCAACUCUACAUAUAUAGUUGGGCUGGAAUACUAUUAAUAGUAUUUGUGCCCUUUUGCUACCUAGUUUUUAACCCUUAGAUGAAAAUUGUAGGUUAGGAUAAUAGUAGUUUCUUAGGAUUGAGCGGUGGUCUCCCAAGGUUUAGUUGUAGUUGGUGAAAUGUUAUUUGUCCAAUAGUAAAAUCAUAGGAGUAAAUUUAACGACUAAAAACUAGAUAGCAAAAGGCCCCAAAUACAAUUAAUAGUAUUCCAGCUCAACUCUACAUAUAGAGUUGGCUUGGAUACUGUUAAUAGAAUUUUGGCCCUUUUACUAUCCAGUUUUUAAUCUUUGAGUAAAAAUUAUGGAUUUAGGAUGAUAGUGAUUCCUCUAGAGUUGGUAUAAGCGUGGUGGGUCCUACAAGACGUCUGUGUGAUGUUAAUAAUCAAAUGUAUCUUUAAUUAGUUAAAUAAUUUUUUAUAAAGUAAAAAUUAUUAAGAACUUAAUAGACUGGUUGUGAUUUUUUGUAAUUGCUGAAGUAAUAUAUUUUUCACAUGUAUUGAGGUUAUAAUUCAGCAUAAUAUUCUUUUUAAUGAGGUUUACAGGAGAAAAAUUCAAUCCAAGGUUGGCGAUAAGUGACACUUAUUGAUCGAGCAGUUUUUAUACAUGGAACCCAUAAUAACGCGCCUGGAUAUUAAGAUACGUUUGUGCCUUAAUACCAUUAAUUUUGAGAGUGGAGAUAAAUAGUACAAAGUUAGUGAGAAGGUUUAAUGUUACUGGUAAUCAUUAGAUAGAGAGAAGGUCGCAGUGUUAACUAGUGUCUAUUUUAGUGUAUCUUAGAUUACAGUGAGCACGAAAUUUAUAAAAUAAAAUAUAUGAAUCUAAUAAAAAUCAUAAUUUUAGGUUAUGUGUGGAAAAUUAAAUAACAGAAUUGUAUAACUUGAGUGGAGUAAAGGUUAUUGAAUGGUAUUGAUGGAGUCCAUUUCAAUGAAAAAAUUAUUAUUACUACACAGUACAAUACACUAUAUAAAAGUUUUGAAGUUUCACCAGGUGUAGUUAGCAGUUUACCAACGCGAUCAGUGUACUUUUAUGAUACAUUUCAUGUGUGUUGUUUGCCUUAACGUUUUGAAUACACUGAUUACAGUGUUAUAAAUACAGAUUAGUUCGAUUAUAGCUCGGAUGCGAUGCUGUAAGUUGAAGACUGUAUGAUAUAGUGACUUUAAACUCUAGCAGUUGAACUACUCUAUUCAUACCUGCAGCAACCUCUGAUCUUAAUGAAGAUGAUAGUUAUAUGCAUAUCUCAAUAUUUCAUUUACAGUCCGGACAGAGUAAACUGUUUCCUUGAUUUCAUUCUCAAUCUAUGGUAAAUGAUGUUAUGGUUCAUGAGUAAAAGCAACCAAAUGGAAGUGGAGGUCGAAUGAAGAGGUAGUGAUUUGUCAUCAUAUGCUAUAACAAGAAAUCUACCACCAAAUGGAAUUUGCAAAGAAGAGAAAACGGCAUUUCCCCAAAUACAAAUGAAUAUCAUGGUCCUAAGCGAAGAUAUCAAUGAGUCAGGCCAUUAACUAAAAGUAUCAUAACUUUAUCGGGUAUAAAAUGAUCAAAUUGUAUAUGAGCGAUACAGUGGUAUGGGAUUCAUGAACCCGGUCUAUGCUCAUUAUCGAAGAGUUCUAGAUUUUGACUGAGUGAAAACCCAUUAAUAGAACAAUCAACAAUGUAUAUAUAGUUAUGUGACUAUAUAUAGAAGUAGCACCGAGAGAAGACUUUAACCGACUACCAAAAGGACGCAUGGAAUGGGAUCCUAAAGGGAUAACUUCCAGCGAGAUGAUGGUAGCGGAGACAGCGAUUGUAGUUACCUCGUAUAGAAAGCCGGUUAUGUCUAUAGGUGAUUACUCAAUGGAGAAUUUUGAAUAGCCCAGUGCGAAGGAGUCCGAACCAAGCAGAAUAUUAACCGAGAACUAGGAAUGAGCAAGUAUUAACUAAUGUAAAAUGAGAAACCACGCUAACGAUACAUCCUAAAAGGAUAAGCUACCAAUGGUUUUAUCAAAGUGCCCAGUCCCAAGUAAUGAUUGAAGAGAUGGUAAUGCACUAUGUUGAGGUAGGGGUGAAAUUCCGAAGUGAUGACAGUAAACAUUGUCUCUUUAGGAAGGCACGGUAGCGGAUUCUGCUUCAUGGAUGCCUAUCCGGUUUCCUACCGGGGCAUUAUGAACAAGUUGAGCGAGAAGGGUUGGAGACAACCGUUGGAUGUUUCUUACAUAUUAAGGUGCAAAAGGACAACGGAGGUGAGUUGGCGUGUGUUAUUCACAAUAGUUAUUGAAUCAUAACUGGGUGAAAAAUGCGAUCAAAAGUAGAUCUAAUGGUUGUGAAAAGCUUGGUAUUAGCACCAAGCUGCUUCGCAUGCUAUUAAUGAUAGUAGUCCGGUAAUGAUAUAUUAAUAUAUAUAUAUAUAUCUGUAUAUAUAUAUAUAUUAUAUAUAUAUAUAUAUAUAAUAUUAUAGCGACGAGAGAGAGAGAGAGAGGAUUGAUGAGAGAAGCAGAGAGAGAGAGGUCGAUUGCCGGGGAGACGAGAUGAGAGAGACGCAGAGAGAGAAAGAGUUGGGUUGCGAAUAUAUUGGCAGCAUUUGGCUUUUUGCUAUAAGUUUUUAAACAUUGGAUGAAAAUUAUAAGGUGUUAGGAUGAUAUUAGUUCUUAAGGUGAGUGGUGCCCCAAGACUUGAGUGGGCCUAACUGAAUUAUAAUAUUAAUUUAUAAUCCAAUGUAUUAGAAAUGAAUCAAAAAUAAUUGAUACAAAGGCAUAAAAACUGAUAGCACAAAAAAGGACAAAUAUCUACUAAUAGUAUUCUUAAGCCCGACCCUCUUAUAUAAUAUAUAUGGCUGGGGCUACUAUACUCAUAUGAGCUAUAGAGCCUUUUACUCAUGACGCUUUUUCGACUCUUCAAAUGAAAAAUGUUGCUGUUAGGACUGAAAAGUGCGUUACGCGUCUAGUCCUGUUGAUGUGAGGCCCCUAGCGUUGAAGGUGUGGCUGGUUGGUUGAAUAGUAUAAUCUAACAGGGUUGAAAAUGAUUAAAGAGGUAAUUUUUAACGCGCCAAAAACUUAUGAGGAUAAAUCGGCCUCUAUACUCAUAAGAGUAUAGGUUAGCCUCCUCGUCUCUUCUCUCUGCGCCUCUCUCGUCUCUCUCUCUCUCUCUUCUCUCUCUCCUUAUAUAUAAUAUAUACUCUGGAUAGAGCACCGCGAAGGCAAGGGCUGCGGGGCUCGCCAGUUCACCGCCGGCGGCGAGCCGUCUCCCUGUUAGCCAAUCGGCGAGCGGUCCUGUAAACCUCGCGGCUUAAGGUUGUUCAUGUAUAAUGAUAUCGUAUCGUAUAGUAUAUUAGUAUGGCUGGGGGCUACUAUACUUUUAUGCAGUACUAGACGCCCCUUGUAUCAUUAAAUUUGUUAACCGUUAUAUUGAUGGGAUGUGUGGUAGGAUGAUGAUGGUUCCUUCACUUCUAGAAUGAUAGUGGUCCCUUUAGGAUGAGUAGAUACGUUGGUUGAAUAGUAUGAUCUAACGGAUGAAAAUGAUCAAUAAAAUAAAUCUAAGGCCCGAAACUUCAUGAGUCAUAGGGAGCUAAUACUUCAUAAAAGUAUAGUAGGGCGGGCAUAAAUACUGGGGUGGUAUCCUAUUAGUAAUAUAAUUGAGCUAGAAUAUUUUUAGCAAAGCACAACCCCUUGGUUGCUUCUGCCCGGGGUUUCUAUUCUCUGUGGAUUCUCACUCUUUGAUUAGUAAUAGCCCGUUGGAUGAAUAAAGCAUUAUUCGUCUACCAACUAUCACCAUCAUCCCAACACAUCCUUCCAUCCAUAUUGGCUAAAAAUUCAAAAGCAUCACUCUUGAUGUUUUGAGAGUAUUCUAGCUCAACUCUAUAUAUAUAUAUAUAUAAUACGAUUAUGGUAUGUAAUAUGUAUUAUAUAUAUAUAGUAUAUAUACUAUAUAUAAUAUAUAUAUGGUAUUAUAUGUAAAUAUAUUAUAAUAUUCUAUAAUAUGCUAUAUAGUAAUAUAUAUAUAUAUAUAUAUUAUAUUAUAUUACAUAUGUAUAUAAUAUAUAUAUACAUAGGUUAUAUAUAUAUUUAUAUAUAUAUAAUAUAUAUAUAUAUAUAUUUAUAUAUAUUGUAUAUAUAUAUAAUUUAUAUAAUUGUAGAACUAGGCUGGAAUCACUAUUUAAUCAGCACACAGCUAUUUGGCUGCUAUUACGCUUUUUAUAACCUUUGAAUGUGAGAAAUGUGGAGUGGUUAGGAUGAUGUAGGCCGCCUAGGAAGUGUGAGGAUGUUGGUUUGAAUUAGGGAUAAUCUAACUGGUAAAAAUAAUCAAAGGUUAUAAUCUAACGGUUUGAUUUGUGGAAAACCGAAUUAGCCACCAAUCCUUUAGUGUUUCCAAGAUUUAGUAGUUCUAGGCGGACUCUCUCGUCUCUUUUCAAUUCUCUCUGCUCUCUGGUCUCUUCUCCUCUCUUCUCUAUAUAUAUAUUUAUAUAUAUAUAUAUAAUAUAUAUAUAUACAUAUAUAUAUAUAAGCCGGACGCUCUCUCUCUCUCUCUCUCUCUCUCUCUCUCUCUCUAUAUAUAUAUAUAUAUAUAUAGAGUGAGGCUACUAUACUUCUGAAAGUACGGAGCCUUAUAUAUAUAUAGAGUGAGGCUACUAUGCUUCUGGAAGCACGGAGCCUUCCAUACUUCCACGUCGUUUCCAUGUUGCAACUUUCGAAUUGUCGAUCGGCUCUGUUAAACUUAAUCUAGAGUAUUUGAAGUACCCAGAAAAUAAAUUAUUCGAUUUUUCGAUAUUAUUUGCCUAGUGAACGAAGGGGCUCAAAAUCGACGGCUGAAAAUAAAAAUCUUAUAAAACGUGAUAAUAUAACAUUAAAAUUUUAGAUCAAAGAUAUUGAUCUUGUUUUAUAUAAUAUAAAGAAUUUGCUACCAAAAUUUCACGUGAUUUGGAUAUUUCUAUGCCGUUAAACUUGCAAACGGCUUACUACGACCAUUAAAAUUAUUGAUUUUGAGCCCCUUCGAUCACUAGGCAAAUGAUAUCGAAAAAUUAUAAAAGGUACUUCAAAUACUCUAGAUCAAGUUUAACGGAGCCGAUCGACGAUUCGAAAGUCGCAACAUCGAAAACGACCUGAAAGAACGAAAGGCUCCGUGUUUCCAAAAGCAUAGUAGCCUCUUAUAUAUAUAUAUAUAUAUAUAUAUAUAUAUAUAUAUAUAUAUAUAUAUAUAUAUAUAUAUAUAUAUAUGUGAAAGGUGUGACGCCGACUUUCCCAGGGGAAUGAUGAGGGGGGUCACCAAAUUAUGGAUACUCGUCUGCACGCUUACUAUUUUAACUCUUUGAGGUCUUAGCACACCCAAAUGCCUUAAGCCGGGUUUUAAGAGUUUAGCCUAAUGUAUAUUUCUAUAUAGGACUAUUCUGGGUUCUUCAAAUCUCCCCCUCUUUAAGCCCUGACGUCCUCGUCAAGGCUUCAGACUCACACAAUACCAGGCGAUGUGAGACGCAUCUCGCUAGCCCGUCAUCCAGACCCAGUGCUCUAGCGAGACUCAUUACAUUCCGGCUGGGAGUAUAUCGCAGUAAUUGGCUCUGAUACAUCACUGUGAGCCCCGACUUCCCAGGGGGUCACCCAUCCUAGGACUACUCCCGUCCUAGCACGCUUAACUCUCUUAACCUCUUGGGUCUAGCCACCACCCAAAAUGCUUAAGCCGGGUUAAGAGUUUAGCCCUAUUAUAUCUCAUAUAUAGGACUAUCUGGGUUCUCACAAAAGGUGAGGUCCCACGACAUAUGUGGUUAACAUUGCUCAAAAUACGAAUGGCAGAGCCAUCCAAUAAUAUAUGGAAAUAGAAUUAUCAUUUUGGGCAUGUUUGGUUCGUACAUUUUGGAUCCGGAAUAGAAAUCGAUUUGAUCAAAUUCUGCUAAUUUUGUUUGGUUCACAGGAAUCAGUCUGGGACUCCCAUUCUGGAUCGGAAUGGGAAUGGUCCAUUAGCUUACAAAUUGAUUCUGGUCUCCAAGCCCGGAUUGAAGUUUCAAUUCUAAGCCCACACUCACCUUUUCCUAAGGCCCAGCCCAACGUUUCUUCAUGUUAUCCAUCCUUUCUCUCCUUGUAGGCCUGUACCAAUCUCUUCCCUCUUUUCUCAUCAUUAAAAAAAAAAAGUGACAUAUCAUUCUUUAUUAUAAUUUUCACUACAACAGAAUUUGGUUAUAGGGACACAUGUUUGGGACACUUCUGUGUAAGUGUCUCAUUUAUGCCAAAAUUUUUUAAAUAAUAUACUAAUGCCUAAAUAUAAAGCCCAAUUCAAUCAAAAAUAAAAUGUUACACUACUCAACCCACCCCAUCCAGCCCGUUUGGCCCGAUUACAAACAGAAAAGAAAAAAAAAAAAUCAAUUACCAUCUUCCCUUCUCCCCUUACUCAAUCCACUGAAAUUCUACUGAAAUUCUAGACGAAAAGCCCUUUCCUCUCCUCCUCCUUCGUCAUCGCAGCAACGAGGUAGAGUUCCGGCGGUUGCUAAAUGCUUAAAUAAGUGUUGGUAAAUUAGCAGCACUCUUUUUAGCUUAUAGCGACACUCUUUAACUGUCACUAUAUACCUAGCGACCCCACAUAUAGCAACACUUUUUAAAAGUAUCGGUAAUUUAGCCAGCAGCACUUUUUUUGACCUAUACCGAUAUUUAAAAGUGUCGCUAUGAACCAUUUUUGUUGUAGUGUUUAUUCAAAAAAAUUUAUGCAUUUUUUUUGUAAUUUCUUGUAUAAAAAUUUUUAAAAUUAAUUCUUUUUUUUUGGCAUAGCUCUAACUUGAGAGUACUAUUAAUUUUUUUUUUAUAAAUUUUAGAUAGUUUUAUAAAAUUAUAUUUAAAAGUAAAAUUAGUAUUAUGUUAUUCUAUUAUUUUUUUACUUUGUAUCAACCAAAUAGUGAAAUAAGAAUAAUUCAUUCCAAUUUUCAUUCCAGAAAUAAACCAAACGUCUUGAGGGAGUGGGGCAAUCCAAUUGUCAUUCCAAUUCAUUCCUAUUCCAUUAUUUAUUCCAAUUCCACUCUUGAACCAAACAAGCCCAUAUAUGUAGUGCGGUUCUUUAAGGGCCCCUUUUUAAUGAGAUUUUGUCAAGAUAAUUUGAUAAAUCAUCUAACACUCGAAUCUUAAAUGACCUUUUCAAUGUAGAAUGUUUUUGUUCGAAUCUCAACACCACAUCAAGAUAGCAGAUUUAUAGAAUGCCCAAUAAAGGAGAACGAAGUCUUCCUCAUUCUUUUAUUUUUUUUGGUAUAUAUGUUCAAAAAUAAUAUAAAAUAAUUAAUGUAGGUAAGGGGAUAUUGGAGUGCUCAUAUAUGCCUCUUUUGCCUUUUCCAAUUAUUGGAAGACAUUUCUAAGUCAAUAGGAUAAGGAGAUAAAGGCAUAUGGAAUUUCUACCAUAGACACAGAUGCAGGUAAACCAAACCCCAACUAACAGGAACUAAUAAGGCUUGCUUAUUACUAUGACAAGCAUGAUAUAGACUUCUCAAACAUGUCAAUUACUUGAAGUUUGGCCGUUGCAUCUCAAAUAGUAUUUCUUUGGCUGAGGCUCUAAAAUUCAUUCAAUCUACGUGUCAAAUUGUUUUGGAAGUAGCCAAUUCAUGAAAGGUAUCAAUAAUGUUAGCUAGAGAUUAUGCCUUCUUUUCAUUGUUAUAUAUUGAUUUGAUCCAUGCACCAAGUUCAUGGAAAUUAAUUGGAAGUCUAAAUUAAGUUGGGCGUUAAAUUGGACUUGGCCCGGUUUAAUUCCUAUGUAUUGCGCCCAAUUCAAGUUGGCUCUGGGGUAGAGUUACUAGAGUAGGAUAAGGAUAAGAAUUCACUUAUAUGUAUAUGUGAAUACCAUGUAUACACAUCACGCAUGGUACGGACGAAUUCAAUAUAGACACUUCACACUUUUUAAUAGAUUAGAGGUGACGGUUCCCUUUAAGCCGUAUACACAAGUGCAAAUUACUACAGAAGUGCAAAUUAAUAGAUUACAGGUGACGGUUCUCUUUAAGCCGUAUUAUUAUUAUAUAUACAGUUGAAAUUAAAUUUAAAUUUAAUUAUUAUUACAAUCAGUGAAAAUUAAUAUAAUAACUAAAUAUUAGUUAAUCUUAAAUAUAUUCACAAUAAAAGAAAGAGAUAUUCAUAAUGGUGUCUGUGGGCCGGGUCGGGUCUGGAUAGUUGAUAUACUGUAUCCGUAUCCUAAAAAGAAAUUAGUAGAAAAAAAACAUAUAUACCCUAAUAUUUAACUUUCGAUCGGAUCUGGGUCUGGAUACUUAAUUAAGUUAAUAAUAUAUCCAUCAAGUUUAUUUGAGUGGGUCUGAGUAGUGACUACCCGUAUACUAUCCGCCUUAAGAUCGGAUUUGGAUCGGAUAUGGGUCGUGUCUAGAUCGGGUAUGGGUCAGGCCUGGAUCAAAUAUGGACACCCGUAUGCAUAUAUUUUUUAUAGAUUUUAUUAAAUAGUUUAUGGACAAACCAUAAAUCUCUCAUUAUAAAAAAUUUCCAUUCUACUUAGUUGCACCGUCUAAUAAAAGUAGUUUAAAAGAAAGAUUCAGGGUUAAACAAAUAAGGAGAAAAUAAAAAAAUAAAAAUGUCCCAUUGAAAUACACUGAGACACUUCGUCUAUAAGUCCUAUUGAAAUUUAUCCCUCAAUUUUAAAUUUUUUUUAUUUACUAUCGGAUAUUUCACUAGGUCCCGGUCUAGGUCCGGAUCCAGAUCCAGAUUUGAAAACUCUUCCAAACCCUACCCAUUAAAAUGUCGGGCUCGGGUUGGGUCCAAGUCGGAUAUGGAUAUAAAGUAUCCGGAUCGAUAUCCGAAACUUUAAUGGUAAUUUUUUUUACCCAUAUACUAUUUAUUAUUUAUCAGAUCUAAUUCGGGUUCGGGUAGGAUCUAAGUAGGGUUUGGAUUGAAUAUGGGAUAUCAAAUAUUUUGAACGGUUUUAAAUAUUAAACUAUAUAAAAAUAUUUAAUAAAAAAAUAUUAUUAGAAAAUAAUGAAUUAAAAGUUUAUUUCAUUACGUAUUUAUUUCCAGUGAUUUAUAUUCUUAUAUUUAUAUUUCUAUUCUUAUCAUUGUAUUUUUUAAGACGGCUCGGUGGAGAAACCGAAAUUUAAAAUAGGUAUUUUUAUACGUAGUAUAGAUGUAGAUAUAUCUUAAUACAUCACGUGCAGACAAUCAUUUUUAAAAGGCAAAUCAAAUUAUUUGAAUGGUCAGAAAAGUGAAACCAAAAUUUUUUUUCAAUUUAGAUAAUUAUUUUCAGUGAUCCUUAUAUACGUAUAGUUUUCAACAUGAUGAACAACCUAGUUGCACCAAUUCUAGUGGUCAACCUCAUACACGCUUGAGUAAAUGAGAGAGUAGAACAAACUGUUUAUUUCCAGAGACUUAAACUAAAAGUGAGAAAACAAAAACGAAAACAGAAGCAAUGAAAUUUGAGCUCCAGAUGUAAACGGUAAUUUAAAUACGGAUUAAUUUUAUACAGAUUUCUGUAAAUAUAGUAAAUUAUAAAUAUAAAGUUCAACUUUCAUACGUUGUUUCUAUAAAAAUUCUAAUAUUUUCUAAUAUAUCCUUAAUUACCGUUAGAAUUCGUUAGAAAACUUUUAGUUAACCAUAAGUUAAAUAUAUAUCUAAUUCUGAUUAGUUUAUGAGAUAACUCGAUAUUUUUAUCAUUUUAUAUUAUACUGUUAUACCCUUUGGAUAGACAUAUUUGUACUGGUAAAAAUGAUAUUUUAUUUAAAAUAUAAAUCAUUUUGUAACGGUAACAAGAUAGAAGGACAAAAUUAAAAAUAUUAGAAUAUUUAUAGCGACAAUAUAUAAAAAUUAAAUUUUAUAGAAAUAUAUAUUUAUAGUUCAGUAUAUUUGCAGGGACCUGCAUGUAUUUAACCCCUUAAAUAUAUACAUUGAUUCGUACGUACUGACCUGCAUGUACAACAAAGCAGAGUACUCAGGACUCUCGCCAUCUACGUCCACCCAGUACGCCAGCGGCUCUUCCUUGUCUGCCUCUGCCGCGACAGCCUCCAAGAAUUCCGCCAUGCUGACCUCCGUCACGGCGGCGUGCACGAUCCGAACCCCGGCAUCGUUCAGCUUCACCUCCCACUCUCCCUCUCCCUCCCCGACACCAGCUCUCCGAAGCCGCCCCGCGAGCUCCGGCAUCUCCGCCAGCGCCGUGCCCAGCGACUCCUUCAUCCACGCCGCCACUGUCCACGCCGACUCCUCCUUCCCGGCGCUUCUGUAGUAAAGUACUAUGCGGAGGCGGCUCUGAAAGAGCGGGGCGGCGUAGGCGUUGGCAUUGGCGUUGGCAUUGGCGUUGGCGUUGGCGUUGGCGGCAGCGGCAGUGAUGUGGCGGAGACGCCGCGCACCGGGCUCCGUCACUCGGCAUGGUACUGUCGUUUGUAUCCCCUCGAUGUGGAGCUCUUUCGGGAGAAUUCGACCAGCCAUUAGAACACAGAAUUCAAACUACGAUGUUUGUGUUCCUUUUUUUUUUUGUCUUAUUUUUUUGGCUUUUUUAGCUAUAUUUGAUUUUACUCUUUUUGGAGGGAACUACAAUGAAGGGCGAUCGAGGAGAUUGAGUGAGGAGUACUUGAAAGAAAAAUAAAGAGUACCGCUGGGGGGAGUUAUCAGUUAUGCGAGUUGGCUCGUGCAGUUGAGCUAAUAAUUUAUAGGAACAUUUGCAUAGUAUUUAUAUUUUUUUGAGAAAGAGAACGUAGAAUACUACUCGUUUUAUUUAUUUUUUUAAAAGAAUAUAUAUAUUACACGAAUACUGAGACUUUCUCCAAGAUUCGAUUCGGUAGAAAUGCAUAAAGAUCCCUCAACUGUAGACGAUUUUGACAUCACCUCCCUCUUAACACUUUUUUCGUCGACAGCCUCUUUAUUUUUAUUUUUUUAUUUGCAUGAUUUUAGGAAUUAAAUUAUGGAGUUAUCUAAUUCAGUCAGUUCAGUUGGUCCUAGGACUUUUCAUUAAUUUAAAUUGCAUAGUAUUUUUUGACUUUGUAGUACAUAAAUUAUGAACCAUUUUAAUUUGAUUAUAAAUUUUUAAUUAAUUUUAAUUAAACUAUCCAAUUUUUUAAUUUAUUUGAUUGGAGUCAGUCGACGGCACUUUGACUAUCAAAUUUUGAUUUUAUGUCGUACCCCGAGAUUUUUUUAAAAAAUCCAUGUUAGGAAAAUAAGCAAAAAGACGUGUAAAUUUUUUAAAAAACACCCUGCAAAUGAACACAAACCCAUCACAUGAGUAAGGAAUCUCCUGUACAAACGGAUAGAACCUCUCCUAUCCUAUAUAUGCAUGGCAUAGCACCUGAAUACAAUAUCAACCAUACAUACAACCAAACAAGAAACAAUAACGGGUAAAAACAAAAAAGAAAAACUAAACUACUAACAAAGAGAUAAUUACAGAAAACUAAUAAUCCAUACACUAUAACAAAAACGGUGUAUAGCGACACUUUUAAAUAUCGGUACAGGUCAAAAAAAAGCAUUACUUGCUAAAUUACUGACACUUUUUGCUAUAUAUGGGGUCGCUAUAUGUAAGGCCGCCUUGAUGUUUGGCACUCACUCUUCCAGCGACUUGUGGCGGAGGGACACGUGGUGAUCGUAGCUCUCUACGGUCCCUGCGAGAUACUCGCGGCUGAACUCUAGCCGCCUGUAAUAUAUGAGAUUUGAAUAAAGGAAUUCAAAUUUAAAUUUUGAAUUUUGUAUGUGUAUAUAUAUAUAUAUAUAUAUAUAUAUAUAUAUAUAUAUAUAUAUGUGUGUGUGUGUGUGUGUGUGUGUGUGUGUGUGUGUGUGUGUGUGUGUAUAUAUAUGUGUGUGUGUGUGUGUGUGUGUAUAUAUAUAUAGGGUUAUAUUGGUGGUGUUGAGAGAUGAUGGAUUUCGUCACAAAUCGGCGACCAAAUCUGGCGAAACAAAAUAGUAGUUUCGAUGCCCCGAUCGUGUUGAAUAGGCUAGCGCAGUCCAUUCGCAAAUCCGACGAACGAAUCUCCCGAUAUCGCGCGAAGAUUGAGUAAGGGUUGAAAGUGGCAAAACGAAAAAUUCGCAAAACUCCCUAUAUUUUAUGUACCAUUUUGCGUGAUUUUGAACGUUGAGGUGCAUAUGCGCAAAAUACACGCGUUGUGAGGAACUUGUUAAAAAUAUUCAUCUUUGGAGGACUUUCAUGCAAAAUUACAUUUGGAGUAUACAUAGGCAUUAGGGUUUCAUGCAUGAAACCCUAACCCUAGUAGCUCUCCUCCCUUAGCUGACUUUCCUAACCGCCUUAGCACCCCCCCCUGCCUUAGCCGUGCGCGCCCCGACCGCCUACACAUGCCGCCGGCCACCGGAACAGGCUGUUCCUCCCUCUCUUUCAUUUUCUUCACCAACCUUCACCACACUUUGUUUGAGCAACAACCUGGAGGGGCUCCUCACCCUCGGGCUCCUCCCCUGGUCGUGCUUCGACCUCCGGCGACUUUCCCCACCGGUCGUUGCGGGCCCUGUGCGCCACCGUCGCCAUCUAGGUAACUUGCGGCCACCUAGAGCAAGAGCGGGCUGAGGCUAAGCCUCUUCUUUUGACUCGCGCCGCCACCGCCUUAGGCCAAUUGGGAUGCCCUCCUCUGACCUCCGGCGACCUAUAGCUAUCGCCCCAUAGCGCCCCGGCUGUCGUAGCUCCCUGAACCCGAGCCGAACCCGUGCGGGCGUGGGUUGCUCUGCCGCCAUGGCCGCCGCCUCCCGCCGCCGGCCAACGCAAGCCCCGGCUUCCACCCAUCGGCUGUACCCACCUGCCGCCGGCGUGCCCGCCACCGUUCCCCCGCCGGCCGUGCCCUAACUCCCCUUGGCCCGGUAAGCAUUUAUUAAGCUAUUUUGUGCCUCACUUCCAAUUCGGGUCACUAUUCUGGCAACCUAAGGGCACCCCGAUGCUUUCGGAAGUGAGCACAAUGAUCCCUUAUCAGUGCCGUUCAUCGUGCUUAUCUCCUUUGGGCUCAGUAAGCCCCAGUUUGCCAGAUAAGCGCAGUUUAGGUUUAGCGUGAGCAAUUCACUGAACUUUGUGUCGCCCCUGCACUCUCCACAGUGGACGGCUGUGUUCCGAAUCAUGAGCACGGCCUCUGGCACGUCGAAACCCGUCAGCAUGUGUCUCGGCCGGCCUCGAAAGCCCUCAGUUUGUGCUAUCGAGACAUAAAACCUCGAAAAUCACAAAAAAUAAUGUGAUUUUAGGUAUUUGAGGGGGCUUUUGUGCAAAUGUAUACUUCAUGGCUGCUGUGGGUAGUAUAUGCGGGUGGCGGGUGACCUCUGGACUGAUUGUCCAAGGUUUGAGGCCUUUGCAAAAAUCGAAUAUCGAUUUUCGGCAUAUUUUUCAGCGAAAUUCGUUGACAGAACGCGGUUUCGGUUUUGAUUCCUUCCAACGAUGUUGAAGCACAUUAUAUUUGUCGCUGAGCCUGGUUGGCUAGUCACUUACAUCGUUUCAAGGGUUCGGAGGCGACGGGUGAGAGAUUGUGGGUUCCGGUGUUGAAAUUGACACUUUCAAGAACCCGAAUCGAAGCGGCUAUUCGACGAUAAUCGUUUCCAUGUGAAUCUACGUGAUUGCUGCCAGGACACCCUUAUUAUGGUGUUGUGUGGCAGCGGGUGACUCGUGGUGCAAGUCAGUGAGUUUCGGGACACGUCGUGCGUCCGGAUGGAGUCCCGGUGCGAUUUUCGAAACUUCCGGUGAGUUACGGUAAUCGGUUUUAGAAAACCGAUUCUCGUGGGAUUAAUUGUGGGGUUGUGAGUUUAGUAUUCCUUAUAUAUGGGUUAGAUACUAACCCAAUGGACUCUCCGUAGGUCCAGUUGAUGUUCUUCCACAGUCGGGAGAUAGGUGCUACAUUUGUACAGGUGGGUACUUCGAUCUGAAGUCGGUACAGUGGUGCACACUCGGUGACAUUUUUUUCACCAUUUCUUUAUUAUUACCUUGCAUAUCAUGUGAUGAGCCUAACACCCCUUUUGACUUCUUAUUAUUGCUCUACUUGGUUAUUUUUCAUAUUCAGUAUCAUGAUUUAGAAGUAGAGCGAAUUAUCGGUUGUACUUGAGAUCUGUGACCUAUUCGGUCGGUUCAGUGAUUUUGGUAUUGUGAACUAUUUAGUCGGUUCGGUUACUUGAUAACCUACACGGUCGGCAUACCAUGAGGGGUAGGAUUGUCGGCUAGUUGCCGACAGUUGGCUAUUGAGUAUAUCAGUAUCGAUCGCCACUACUCGUACGCAUUUCACGAACACCAGCGUUCUGAUCCAUCGCAAGAGGGUGUUCUUUUUUGAAAAAUUAGUUGGGAGUGCCAGCCCGUGAGCCCAGAAGCCUAGUCUGGGUUAUAUGCAGGUAGAGUGGCAGUGGCACAGGCUUGAGGUCUGCGGACCGACAUGGAAGGUUUCUGAAUUUGGUAUAUUUGGGACUGAUCGUCCGGUUGAUGCACGCAUACAGUAGCGGUAAUGGCAUAUAUAUAUCCUGUUCUCUUUAUUUGUUAUUAUUACUGUAUUAUCGUUGUAUAUACCUUUAGUUAUCUCUUCCUUUACUGAUGAGUACCAUUCAUCUUCGUCCCCUUGCGGUACCCACUGGGAUGGGAGACAUGUGUACAUGUUCUUACCCCCCGCCAUUUUCAGUUGACGUUGCUCGUCCGAGCCGGGACAAGGCGUGAGACGCGUUGUUAGCGGUCAAUAAAGUUACGGCUCGGUGACAUUCGAUUUAGACUCUACCUUCUUUCCAUGAACAAAAUAACUUAGACAUUUUAUGCCUCAGUUGAUUUCUUUUCAGUUUGANUAUAUAUAUAUAUGGUUUUGUGAAGUUAAAUAAAGUACUUGUGGUUUUCAUGUGAAAUUAUGAAAACAGUUUCUACCCCUCAUGGUAGUUUGUUUUUAAAGGAAAAAGUUUUCGUAUGGAAUACGGUUUUAAAAAGGGUUUUUCGCUUUUCAUAAUUUUUAGUAUUUCAAAAUGAGUUUUUAGGUGGGAAACGUUUUAAACUGAUAGGUGUGGAUUUAUGAAUAAAAUAUUGUAAUCUUGUGACUGACCGAAUGUGAUUCGUAUUAUGUGAUGUGGUGAAUGUAUAUAGUUGUAUAUAUACUAUGGUUGUAUCUUGUACUUAUGUGACGCCGUGUAAAUAUAGAGGAGACCCUGUCCGUGUGAACAGUGGGUUUUCUAUAUUUGUAGCGGAUCUGAUAUCCCCUGGGAUCAAGGCUUUCAAAAGAAAAAAAAAAUUUUGGCGCUUCCGCAUCGAUUCUAACACUUCAAAGGAACCUCGGGGUGUGACACCGCCAAAACCCUACCUCAUCGGCUAUGGCGGCGGAAGAGGAGAAAAAGAGAUGGUGAUCAAUUUUUCUAUUUUUUUCUUUUAUAUUUGUAAUCAGGCCAAGUGAGCUGGGUGGAGUUGGUUAAGUAGAUGAACUUUUUUUUUUUGAUUGGAUUGAGCUUUAUAUUUAGGUCUUACUAGUUUUUUUUAAAAAAAAUUAUAUAAAUGGGACACUUAAACAAAAGUAUCCCAAAAAUGUGUCCCUAUAACCUAUUCUAUUGUAGAGAUAUAAGAAUCAAUUAAACUAAAGACUUAAACUGCCAUCUUAACAUCAUAAAUAAUUAGAAGGUAAUGAUCAAGAGAUAUUAAUCAAGAAUUAAACCAACAGAAACUGAAAACUGAACUAAGUACAGAAUUGUAAAGACCAAUGAGAGACCAAUAUAGGACAUAGCUAUCUAGUACCGUCCUCAUGUACCAUCCCUAUCCUCACCGACCAUGCUACCUGAAAAGAGAUGGGUGAGAAACAAAUCUAAAAUUUUUCAGUGAGUACCGCAAGCCAACGAAGGAAGGUUGUAUUCAUCGACAAAUGAGUGAUAAAAUCUACUGUAAUGAAUAGGAAAAGUAGAUACAUUAGUAAUGAAAUAAUAACAAGCAAUAAAUGCAUGAAUAACCACUACUAUUGAUAGAUUUUCUAGGUAUGUAAAAUAAGAAGAAAAUUAAAUACAUACCAAAAUUCAAAAUCAAAAUAAAAUAAGAUAACUCACAGAACGCCAUAGAGAAGAAAUUCUUGAUUAAUCUGCGGAAGCGAGAAUUUUGGCUAUGAUCUAGAAGUCACAAACCGCACUUAGGUAGUUUGGUUUCUAUUCCUAUCUCAGGCACUCUGCCGUUUGGUGCGAAACCGAUAGUAAUUCUUCACCAGAAUGCAUAUGGGAAGGCGGCAGGACCAAUACCCCUUUAUAUAGAGUCCAGAUCGACUUCCCAUCAAAGUCUGAUUGGGAUUCUAUUUAAAUUAAAUAGAUGGAAUAGGGAUAAAAUAUACCAUAUCACUAUCUAUUAGAAUUGACCUUUAUGUAGUGUCCCGAGGGUUUGGUAUCGGAUUGGUUUCAGUAUUAGCGAUUGGUCGACACAUUUGUAGAGUGUCGGACUGAAUCGGAAUUGUUUUUGCCCAAAAUGGAUGCGAAAACAGACUCGACGCACUCAAAUAAGAAAAACUAGAGUUUUUUCAGUUUCGGGCGCCCAGAACAUGGUUUGGGUCGCCCAGAACUGAGUACUGAACUGAACUGAAACUGGAAGCCAAUUCGGAUCCUGUUUUCGGGCGCUCAGAAGUGGGUCCGAAUGUUCACUUUGGGAGUAUCGACUGUGCUGACACGUGUAUGGUGGUAGGUGAGGUCCGCCGAACCAUGUUUAGGGCGCAUCAUACCGCGGGCGGAGGAACCGAAGAGGAGUGUUUGUUCAGCCUGGGAGUUUCGGACGCCUAGAAGUGGGUUUUGGGUGCUCGAAAGUGCAGAAUUCUGCAGGAGUAACGGGUUUGCAUUUUCUGUUCCUGAGGCCUAUUGUACCAUUCCACCUUCCUAUAAAAGCUUGGGUGCAAUCCCCUGCGAAGCUUUUUCACCCUUCUUCACAGAGAGACCUUAUUUUUGCACUCUAAUCCCUCAAAAUACUCCAAAUUAUCCAAUUCCAUCUUGAAGAUUGCAGUUCUAGCAGUUUUCCAGCAGCGACCUUCAGUGUUUUGGCUCGUGUGCUACGUAGGAAACUCCGAUUGCUGCGAAACUUGGUUUGGUGGUUAGAAGACUUCUUGGAGUUUUCGUGGAGCCCAUUUUGACAGCAUUUGAUUGAGGUUUGUAUGGUCAAUUUGAUAUUUUUCUGAGUUGUUGUUAUGCUUAAGCUGAAAUUGGGACUUUUAUGGUUUUCUUGGAUCAAUUCUUGGAGGAAGCUGGAAUUUCGACCAGAGGAGGUUGCUCCAUCAUUCUCUACAGGUUUUGGGACAUUUCUUCACCUAAAUGGAGAAUUGGAAGGUGAGUUUGACAUUGAGAUUUUGGAGAAUUUAAGUUUAAGGGCUGAAAUUGAAUGUAUUGAUGGAAACUUUGGAAUUUUGUACUUUGAUCCUUAGAGAGGUUUGUUGCUGGUUGGAGACUAAGCUUGGCAGGAGUUUUUCCAGCGACUUCUCACCUUGGUCGAAUUCGUGCUGGAGAUGGGUUAAUGAUAUGCUUACCGGAUUCUACGGAUUUUCUCCUAAGCCUAGUUGAUGUCAGCAUGUAUAUUUUUUAGUUUUUGUAUAUCAUGUUAUUUAGCUCGAAUUCGUUGAUUUGCUUGUUAAUUGAAAUCUAAAUUUGGAGCAUACAGUAGUGAUUUAGAUAAAUUAUACAUGUUGGACUUGGAACUUGACUUGGGAGAAAACUAUCGAUUCUAUACCGUCAUUUUCUCAAACUACCAGAUUUAGCUCUAAGAGCCGUAGUUUGUGUUGUAUCACUGCAGUUUGUGGGCGGUGGAUACCCAGGAUAGUGUAGAAUUAAUUUACGCUCGUGCUUGGAUACCGAGUUUAUUUUUACAGUAGUGUAUAGACUGUUCCGGACUGUCGGGUGCCGUUGCACGCCCCGGAUUACUCGUUUACUCAGGCACACUAACAGACCCGCCGUAUAUAUAGAAAUUUUCCGAGUAUACGAAGCGAUAGCUGUACCUGUACCUGUAAUCAUGCAACACUACAACCAGUAGUAUAGAGCUACUAAAAAGAAUGACAUAUAUAACAACAAAGGUUCACUAUACAUACAUAGUAUCCAGGUACACAAAAUUAGUCGCUCCAACGAGAUACAAAUAUCAGUAUGUAUAAGAACCAAAAACUACAACUAUCUGUAGCUGGUAUGCUCUAGAUCAGCAACAACCGAAAAGAGAUCUAGCUCGCAACUCCCUUUCCAUGAUCUGUAUAAGCAGUAGCAGCAGCCGCAACCGAAUGCUCUGCAAAAGAUCCACAACUGGGUGUGAGAACUACUGCAAAAAGAAGUAGUCCACAGUGGGUACAGCUACCGACCUCAACGGCUCACCUACUAAGUCUACAGAAGGGAUGUUCAAUGAUAGUAAAGGAACUGGAAAUAAUCUACAGCUACAUGCUACUAUACUAUCAUGAUCCAAUACUAACUAUCUGUAGAACAAUGCCAUCUCUGACCUAAUCUCACUAGGGACUGUGAAUACACCCGUCCUGCCUGUCGAAACUACAGUAACAACCACCACGCUGGGUAGUCAGUGGAGAGCGAGUCCAACCAGGACACAACGACACCAACGCAAAUGCACAAAGCCCGACUGCAGAGUGGUACUCGUGGGCGCUACCCAACCGAGUAUGUAAGUAUAUCUCUGUCGAGCUCAAUCAGGCUCUGACAGGGUAUAGUCAAAGUAAACAGGGUCUAACAACCAAACUCACGUGCCCUCGGCACAAUCUGAUGCAAAAAUAGUAAUCUGGGUCCACCAUCAACCUCAACAACACCCGACAGUCCGAAAGAGCCUAAACACUGCUGUAAAAAUAAGCUCGGUAUCCCAGUACGAGCGUAAAUACAUUCUACACUAUCUUGGGUAUCUACCGCCAACCAACUGCGGCGAUACAAAUAAACUACAACUCCUAAGCUAUCCGCGUAUCAAAUGCGCACUAACAGCGUGGAUACAAACCACAACAGCUUUCGAAGCUAUCUGAGUAUCAAAUGCGCACUACCAGCGUGGAUACGAACCGCAACCGCUUCAGAAGUUAUCAGAGUAUCAAAUGCGCACUAGCAGCGUGGAUACGAACCACAAUAGCUUCAGAAGCUAUCUGAUAGUUUUAGAAGGUGACAGUGUAGAACCUAUAGUUUUCUCCUAAGUCAAAUCCAAGUCCGACAUGUAUAAUUUGUUUAAAUUGAUAACUAAACUCCCAAUUCAGAUUUCAAGAUCAUGCAACUUCAUGAAUUUGAGCUAUUAAACAUGAUAAGAAAACACAACAAUACAUGCUGUCAACUGAAACUUAGGAGAAAAUCGUAGAAUCCGGUAAGCAUAUCAUUAACCCACCUCCAGAGCGAGUCCGACAAGCUAGAAGUCGUGGAGUCAUUGGGAAAACUCGGCCGCGUCCACCCUAGAACCAACAGCAAAACAACUCCAAAGAUCUAAACACAAAAACCACAAAAAUUUCAUCAAUAUUCUAAAUUUCAGCACUUAAGCUUAAAUUCAACUAAUUCCAAUGUCAAAACUCAUCUAUCAAUCAACCAAUCCACAAUUCAAGUGAUGAACAGACCCAAAACCAGUGGAGAAUGAUGGAACAACUUUCUCUGGUCGAAAUUCCAGCUUUUUCAAAGAAUUGAUUCAAGAAAUCCAUAAAAAUUUAGAAAUUCAGCUCCAAUACAAUUGCAGCUCAGUAAAGCACCAAAUUGACCAUACAAACCUCAAUCAAAUGCUGUCAAAAUGGCUCCAAAAAAUCUCCAAGAAGUUAGCUAACCACAAAACCAAGCUUCGCAGCAAUCGGAGCUUCCUACAUUACACAUGAGCAAAAACGCCGAAGGUCGCUGCUGGAAUUCUGCAAAGACUGCAAUCCUCAAGGUGGAAUUGUGGAAUUUGGAGUAAUUUGAGGGGUUAAAGUGCAAAAUAAGGGUCUCUCUGUGAAGAAGGGUGAAAAAACUUCUCAGGGGAUCACACCCAAGCUUUUAUAGGGAGUUGAAAAGGUCUGAUAAGCCCCCAGGAACAAGAAACACUAAUCUGUUGUCCAUGCAGAAACGGGCACUUUCGAGCGCCCGAAACCAAGUUCUGGGCGCCCGAAACCAAGUUCUGGGCGUCCGAAACCUCCAGGCCACACAAACAUUCCUCCUCGGUUUCUCCGCCCGCGAUAUGCUCCGCCUUUAUCCUGGUCCGGUGGAUCUCACAUACUACACACACGUGUCAGCACGGUCGAUAUUCCCAAGGUGCAAAUUCGAACCCACUUCUGGGUGCCCGGAACACAGGAUCCGAAUUGGCUUCCAGUUUCAGUCAGUUCUGCACUCAAGAUCUGGGAGACCCAAACCAGGUUCUGGGCGCCCGAAACUGGCAAAACUCCAGUUUUGCUGAUUUGGGUGCGCCGAGUCUGGUUCUGCAUUCAUUUCGUGCAAAAACAUCUCCGACUUAGUCCGACACUCUCCAGAUGUGUCAACCAGCCAAUAAUACUGUAGCCAAUCCGAUACCAAACUUCCGGAACACUACAGCCGUUGUGGUUGACGUUGGGCCCAGUUUGUAGUUUUUGCAUUGGGUUGUGCCGAGGGCACGUAGAUUAUGGUUGUUCGACCUGUGAGACCUUUUCACUUGAAUUACAGCCUGUGAGAGCCUGAUUGAGCUCGGCAGAGACACGCUUGCAUACUCGAUUAGGUAGCGCCCACGAGUGUCACUCUGGAGUCGGGCUUAGUGCUUUUGCAUUGAUGUCAGUUUGUCCUAUUUGGACUUACUCUCCACUGACGACCUAGCGUGGUGGCAGUUAAUGUAGCUUCGACAAGCGGAACGGGUGUGUUCACAGCCUCUAGUGAGAUUGAGUCAGGAUUUGCAUUUUCUACAGAUAGUUAGUUUUGGAUCAUGAUAGUAUAGUGGCAUAUAGCUGUAGAUUUGUUUCAGCUUUCCUUACUAUCCCUGUUUACUUCUGUAGACUUAGUGGGUUAGCCGUUGAGGUCGGUAGCGGUACUCACUGAAGACUACUUCUUUUUGCAGUAGUUCUGACACCCAGUUGUGGAUCCUUUUUGCAGAGCCUUCUUCUUCGGCUGCUGCUAUCGUGGUUACUGAUCGUGGAAAGGAAGUCGCGAGCUAGAUCCCUUCCCUGUUGCUGCUGACCUAGAGAUAUAUAUACCAGCUACAGAUAAUUGUAGUUUUUGGUUCUUAUACAUACUGAUGUUAGUAACUAGCCGGAGCGAGUAUUUUUGUACCAGGAUACUAUGUAUGUAUGUUGAACUGAUGUUAUUUUUUUAUCUGUAUUUCUUUUAGCAGUUCUAUAAUACUAGUUGUAGUAUUUAUGANCCUGUUGCUGCUGACCUAGAGAUAUAUAUACCAGCUACAGAUAAUUGUAGUUUUUGGUUCUUAUACAUACUGAUGUUAGUAACUAGCCGGAGCGAGUAUUUUUGUACCAGGAUACUAUGUAUGUAUGUUGAACUGAUGUUAUUUUUUUAUCUGUAUUUCUUUUAGCAGUUCUAUAAUACUAGUUGUAGUAUUUAUGAUUUCAGGUACAGGUAGAGCUAUCGUUUCGUAUGCAGGAAAAAUUUCUAUGUAUACGGCGGAUCUGUUAGUGUGCCCGGGGAAAUGAGUAAUCCGAGGCGUGACACUUUAUCUAUAGUAAAUCCAAAUUUGAAUAUGAUUAAUUUGGUGACAUUUAUGAAAAUCCUAACAAUAUAAUCUACUGUAAUGAAUCGGAAAAGUAGAUACAUUAGUAAUGAAAUAAUAACAAGCAAUAAAUGCGUGAAUAACCACUAUUAUUGUGACGCCCCACUUCCCAGGGGCUCGCCUAUUCUAGGAUUACUCUAGUCCUAGCACGCUUAAUUCUCUUAACCUCUUAAGACUAGUCACCGCUCAAAAUAAUAUAGCCUGAUUAAGAGCUUUUUAGUCCUAUUAUAUCUUAUAAAUAGCACUACCUGCGACCUGACAUUAUCCCUUCUCCCUUCCCUUUAAGCCCUUGACAUCCUCGCCAAGCACAUACUCAAAAGUAAUAGGUGAUGUGAGACUCGUCUCACUAGCCUUGAUGGACCUUACGUGGGAGCCGUAUGUGGGAGCCGUGCUCUGUCUACAACAGACAUCAACAUACGAGCCUCACUCUCCCCACUAUAUAAUCUGGGCCAGCCGAGACUUAUCUCUCACUUUUGCCUGGUAAUUGGCUUCGAUACUAACUAUGACGCCCCACUUCCCAAAGGGUCACCUAUUCUAAGACUACUCUAGUUCUAGCAUGCUUAACUCACUUAACUUCUUGGGUUUAACCACUGUCCAAAAUGUUAUAAUCGGUUUAAGAGUUUUUUAGUCCUACUAUAUCUUAUAUAUAUGACUUCCUGGGAUUUCAUAACUAUAAGGUAAGAUAGGAUUCGAUACACAACUACAAUAUACAAGAAUAUAGGUACAAUAGCAGUAAUAACAAGAAGAGAACUAAAAACACCAAUCAUUACAUAAAUGGGCACUACUGUAAUGAACAACAGUAUAUAAAGUGCGUCAAAUGGAUGAAUAAUACAAAUAAUUCAAUCAACUGCUCUAUUGGUCUAAAGACCUUAGGCAAAACUACAUCAUGCUCGCCCUUUGUGUGAUGCCCCAACUUCCCAGGGGGGUCGCCUAUCCUAGGAUUGCACCCAUCCUAGCACAUUUAACUCUCUUAAUCUCUUGGGACUAGCCACCGCCCAAAAUGUUUAAGCCGGAUUUUUAGAGUUUUAGCCCUAUUACAUCUUAUAUAUAGGAUUACUUGGGGUCUCAUAUUCCCCCCCCUCUAAGCCCUGACGUACUUGUCAGGCUCAGGCUCACAAAUACUAGAUGAUGUGAGACUCGUCUCGCUAACCUAAACCGAUCUUGUGAUGAGCUGCGUACCACCCACAACAGUCAACAGCAUAAGAGUCUCGCUUUCCUUGCUGUAUAAUCCUGGCUCAACCAAGAUUUAUCUUACACUUCUGGCUGGUAAUUAGCUCAGAUAUCAACUGUAACUGUAAGGACUGAGAUUUUUGCAGUGUAGCUAAACUCUCAGUUGACGAUGUUUUUGUGUGUAAUUUAAUUACAAAAGCACUCGUCAAGUUUCGGGCGAAAUCGAGUUAAAACGGAAAUUCUACGCGAUUUCCAAGUUUCACUUAAAGUGAAUAGUAACUCGAUUUUCCGGAGAAGCCGCGGUGAGAAGUUGGCUUCUGGCUCGUACCGGACUCUGUCAUAGCAGUCCAAUAGCUCGUUUCGACCGGGUCAGCUAUUCUGGAACUAAUGACGCUGACGGAUUUUGAGUUUGACGCACGGAUUUCGAGAAAAUUCAAAAAUACAUGUUUUAUAUGUAUUUUUGUGUGUGUUUCCUUCUAUUCGAAGAAGGUUGGAUUUUGUCGUGAAUCCGUGGUCGAUCAAGACGAAACGAAAUCGCAGCUUUGUUGUCUCCGAGGUGCUGAUCGCACCGGUGCAAUCCGUUCGCAAAUCUGACGGACGGAUCUGCGGAGAUCGCGCGUUGAUCGAGGAGAGGUCGGUAGUGGCAAAACGGUAUUUUCGCGAAAGUCGCGAUAUUUUAUGUACCGUUUUGCGUGAGAUCGCACGUGGAGGGUCGUUCACGCGUUUUAGUCGUUCGGUGAAGGGCUCGGAUUGAAAUUCCGGUGUUUGGUGGACCCUUUUUGCAAGUUGCGCCUUGUAUAUAAGUCUCUUUAGAGUUUGGAGCCACUCAACCCUAACCCUAGCUACCCUAGUCUCCCUAGCCACCUUCAUCUCCUUCCCCUGCACCUGCUGCGCGUGCCCAGGCCGCCGCCGACCGAGCCCCGGCCGGCCAACCACCGCGACAGCCACCACUUCUCUCUUUCUCAAUCUCUUUCUCUCUCCCUCUCUCCUCUCGGGUUGUGUGAAGGCCCGGGGCUGUGCCUCCUGCUGACCCUCCCCUUGGACUUCACCGUGCUCCGGCAACUUUCCCCGCCGACCGCCGCCGUCGCCUGCGCCGCCGCAGCCGCUCCUGCCGCCUGCAGCAGCCCAGGCCGAGCCUGGCCGAACCGGGUUGCCGCAGCCACCAGCGCGCCGCCGCCGCCUGGAAACUCUCCCGCCGCCGUCAACGAAGCCCCGGCACCCCUUCCCGCCGGUCGCCGCCGCCCCAGCGCGCCGCCGCCGCCGCCUCGGCAGGCUGCAGCCGCCCAACCCGAGCCCAGGCCGAGGCAAGCCUGCGGCCUUUUUCUCUGCGCCGCCGCCACCGUGGACCACCCCGGCCGGCUUCCCGGAGCCCGGGCACCCCUUCCCGCCGGUCGCCGCCUCCCCGGUGCGCCGCCGUCGCCGCCUCGGCCAGCCGCAGCCGCCCCAGCCCCGCUCUGGCCGAGGCGAGCGUGCGACGCUCCCCCUGCGCCGCCGCCGCUUGGGUCCGCACCAGAAUCACUCCCCCGACCUCCUGUAGCCCGCCUCCGCCGUCCCGGAGCUCCCCGGCCGCCGCCGUGGCCGCAGCAACUCCUGGAACCCGAGCUCGAUCUCGUGCGGGCUCGGUUUGCUCCGCCGCCGCCGCCGCCGCUUCCAGCCGCCACGUGAGGUGAGCACGGUGUUCCUCACCUCCCCCUCACCUGACUCAGGGCCCCGCGCACGCCGUCGUGCCGCCGGAGGCCGGCCGGAGCAAGGUUGCUCCGGCCAAGCCCGAAAUGGAGCUUAUUGAGUGGGUUUCUCGUUCUGGGCUUCCCGAGCCUCCCCGAUCUGUACGGAAGGGAGCACGAUGAUCCUGGCAAGUUGCUGAUCAUCGUGCUCACCUUAGUUUCUGUCGGGGAGACUCCGUUCCACUGUUUUUGGCGUUGUCGCUCCGUUUCAGCCUGUUUGGCUGCUGUUUUGGGUUUGCGCACGCUUAUCCGGCGAUCCGAGGCUGUCCUGAUGCCUCCGGAGGUGAGCACGGUGAUCGUUGGUCAGUGAUGAUCACAGUGCUCACCUCACUUUGGAUCAGAAGUGUCCGGUUAGUUCUGUUCGGCGCGAUCUUCCCUGACUGCGCGCUAUUCGUUGAACCUUCGGGUUGCUCCCGCGCUUCCCACAGCGAGCCGCUGUGCUCCGGAUCGUGAGCACGGACUCCGGUACGUCGAGACCUGUCAGUACGUGUCUCUGCGGACUUCGGAAGUCCUCAGUUUGCGUGAACGAGCCGCUUGAUCGCUCAAAUUACAUAAAAUGAUGAUAUUUUAUGUAAUUAGAGGGUCUUUUAUGCAUUUGUGCUUUGCGUGGCUACUGUGGGCAGUGUGUAGGAGUUUGUAUUGAUCGCUGGACUGAUUGUCCAUGGUCCGUUAGCUUUUGCGGAAAUCGGUAGGUCGAUUUCGGUGCGUUUUUCGGCGAAAUUCGCCGAAAGAACGCGGUUUCGGUUCGGAUUCUUUCCGACGGUGUUUGGUUGCUUCGUGUUUUGUCGCUAAGCCUUGUUGGCUAGUCACCAUCGUCAUUUUGUGGGUUCGAUGAUGAUAGGUGAGCGACGGAGGGUUCCGGUGUCGAAAUAGACACUUCCGGGAACCCGGAUUCGUACGAUGAUCCGGCGAUGAUCGUAUGUUGUGUUACCUCGUGUUCGCUGCCAAGACAUCCAAAUUGGAGUGCUUUGGGGCAGCGGGUGACUCGUGGCACGAGUCGGUGAGUUCGGGACACUUAGUGGGUCCCGACGGCGUCCCGGUGUGGUUUUCGGGACUUCCGGUGAGUUACGGGGAUCGGUUUUGGGAAACCGAUUACGGGGAUCCUGUGUGGGGGUUUGUGAGUCUCGUGCUUUGGGUUAGUGGUUUGGAUACUGACUUGGUGGAUCUUCUUAGGUCCGGUAGACUUUUUUGCAGUCAGGAGACAGGCGCGACAGUGACAGGUGGGUGCUUCGAGCUGGUAGUCGGUGAGAGCGUUUCACUUCCUUCUCCUGUUUUUCUAUUCCUGUGUUUAGACUCUACAUGUCAUUGCUUGUUAUCGUUUGGUUAUCGUACCCCUUGAUUGCAUUGUAUAGUUGUGGAUAGACAUGUAGAGCAGGUUGCAUUUGUAUUUCAGUAUCUCUGUGGACCUUGGGUCCAGGCAACACAUCGACUCUCUUGUCGUGUGUUUCGAUCUGGUUGAUCGAGGUUCGGCAUUGUACGCUCUAGCUUCUAUUUCAGUUUGGCAUUGUACGCCCUCGUUGUUGGCUUCGGCCUAGGCACCGGCUUUAGCCGGGUUUGUUUUUGUUUGAGCAUACCAGCAUGACUUAGUCACGGCACUUGGGGGUAUUCAUGACACCGGAUCGGUUUGGCCACCGAUCGGAGGUGUACUUAUCCGGAUAGGUCGUCCUGCGGGGCGGAUGGAUCAGGUCGGUGCAGUUGGUGACAGGUAGCACUUGAGGUCUGCGGACCGAUACAGCAGGCACAGAUUGGGUACAGUUUCUGGUUCAGUACAUUGAGGCAUUCUUUGCAUUGUUUUCUAUACAGUAGCAGGUUUAUUUAUUGCUUCCUAUUUAUCUGUUGUAGCUACUGUAGUUCUAUUUCAUAUCAGCUUACAGAUAUAUAUUUGUUUAUCUAUCUCCUUUGGUUUUCGGUGAUUACGACUUGCCUUCGUGGCUCUGUCGUACCCACUGAGAAAACCAUGGUUGCGGUUUCUCACCCCCCCUUUCCCCCAGGUGACAGAGACGAGAAGUUGGACUUUGGGCUCGACGAGAGGACGAUCUAGUUAGACGGCAGUAGCGACCGUCACCCUGGUUAUUUCUUUCCCGCACUUAGUAGUUUUCUUAAUAAAUGGUUCAGUUAGAUGUUUGAAUGUGGUGAUUUCCGUUAUGCAUGAGAUUAUGGAUGUUUUAUUAUACAUGAGAUUGGAGUUUUCGAUCUGUGGUUUUGGUUCUGUGGAGAUUUGGUUUUCUUGUAGUCCUGCAUCGUGUUUUUCUACCCCUCGAGGUAGUCGGUUUUCAAAAUAAAGUUUCCGUGUGGGAAACAGUUUUAAAAAGGUUUUCGAAUGGCUUUUAUAAAUGAUUGAAUUAGAGUUUAAAAACAAAAGCUUCCAUGUGGGGAGCACUUUUAAAUAUGAUGUUUGUUGUAUUGUGCAUCGCAUCAUCCAGCGCCUAAGGAGUGCUUAGAGGCAUGCAUCAUUCUAAGGAUUGUUAGCUGUAUGGAAAUGUGUGACGCCCCAACUUCCCAGGGGGUCACCCAUCCUAGGACUACUCCCGUCCUAGCACGCUUAACUCUCUUAACCUCUUGGGUCUUGCCACCACCCAAAAUGCUUAAGCCGGGUUAAGAGUUUAGCCCUAUUAUAUCUUAUAUAUAGGACUAUCUGGGGUCUCACAAUCUCCCCUCCUUUAAGCCCUGACGUCCUCGUCAGGCUCAGACUCACAAGUACCAGGCGAUGUGAGACUCAUCUCGCUAGCCCGUCAUCCAGACCCUGGCUCAGCCGAGACUCAUCUCACAUUUCCGGCUGGUAAUUGGCUCUGAUACCAUCUGUGACGCCCCGACUUCCCAGGGGUCACCCAUCCUAGGACUACUCCCGUCCUAGCACGCUUAACUCUCUUAACCUCUUAGGUCUAGCCACCACCCAAAAUGCUUAAGCCGGGUUAAGAGUUUAGUCCUAUUAUAUCUCAUAUAUAGGACUAUCUGGGGUCUCACAAUCUCCCCUCCUUUAAGGUCCUGACGUCCUCGUCAGUCCAAUCACACACAGCCCAAGAUCACCAGGCUAUGUGAGACUCGUCUCGCUAGCCCGUCAUCCAGACCCUGGCUCAGCCGAGACUCAUCUCACACUUCCGGCUGGUAAUUGGCUCUGAUACCAUCUGUGACGCCCCAACUUCCCAGGGGGUCACCCAUCCUAGGACUACUCCCGUCCUAGCACGCUUAACUCUCUUAACCUCUUAGGUCUAGCCACCACCCAAAAUGCUUAAGCCGGGUUAAGAGUUUAGUCCUAUUAUAUCUCAUAUAUAGGACUAUCUGGGGUCUCACAAUCUCCCCUCCUUUAAGGUCCUGACGUCCUCGUCAGUCCAAUCACACACAGCCCAAGAUCACCAGGCUAUGUGAGACUCGUCUCGCUAGCCCGUCAUCCAGACCCUGGCUCAACCGAGACUAGCCACACAUGUCCAGCUGGUGAACCGGCUCUGAUACCAAAUGUAACGACCCAGCCCACUAGCAAUAAUAACUCGUUGGGCCCAGUCAACAGCCCAAAAUGCUUAAGCCCAGUUAUUAUUACUAGUGUCUAAGUCUCUUAUAAACCCAAUGACAACCCCUUUCCCAUCCGAUGUGAGACUAUUGGGAUGUCACAGACUCCCCCCGUUAAGGCCCUGACGUCUUCGUCAGUCCUCACACACACAGCCCAAGAUCACCAGUUCUGAUACCAAAUGUAACGACCCAGCCCACUAGCAACAAUAACUCGUUGGGCCCCAACCACCGACCCAAAAUGCUUAAGCCGGGUUAAGAGUUUAGCCCUAUUAUAUCUUAUAUAUAGGACUAUCUGGGGUCUCACAAAAUGCAUAUCAUGUCUUGGUUGUUGAUUGGUAAAUGUAGGUUGUGGUUGAAAUCCUGUUGUAUCGUUGGUACGCCGUGCAAAUACAAAGGAGACUCUGUCCGAGUGGACAGAGGAACUUUGUAUUUGUGGCGGGUCUGUACGUCGCGUGGGCCAGGUUGAGAAAGAGGUAUUUAAAAAAAAAAAAAAAAAAAAAUGGCACGUUUUCCGCAACUCUGUUUUAAAAAGACUUUUAAAAUCGGCCCCGGGGCGUGACAGUAACACCCCAACUUUCUAGGGAGUCACCUAUCCUAGGACUACUCCUGUCCUAACACGCUUAACUCUCUUAAUUUUUUAGGCCUAGCACGCUUAAGUCGGAUUUUUAGAGUUUUAACCCUCUUAUAUUUUAUAUAUAGAACUAUCUGGGUUCUCACACCCUAGCAUAUAACCCUAGCAAGUACUAUUACGACGCUCAUGGGUCAAAAGAUGUGAUUCAAAUGGUUGUUCGAUUUAUAAAUUUAUUUGAGGAGAGGGACCUACUGAACAAUUUGAUAAAGUUUGGAAAGUUUUAUUACCAAAAACUAAAAGUUCAUGAAUUUAAUUAAAAAAAGUUCUAAAGUUGAAGAGACAAUGCUAUUGGUACACCUCAAAAUAGGCUUCCAAGAUUAUUAAUAAUCUACUUGUUAUAUUAAAUUUUUUUUAUUUUUACUAAAACCCAUUUAAAUUUUAUCAACUCUAUUCUAGAGGGUGUAAAUUAAAUAUAUAGCUUUUUUUUUUUUUUGCCGAUGUACAAGAAACAUUUUCCAAGUUUAAGCGGACUAUCCUCAAGUUUAAAAUUGCCUCUUCGACUUUGACUCUUUUCAUUUAUACACCAUACUGUCAAAUUGUCUUAAUUAGACUUCUCUGCUAGUAAAAAAUGUUAGCAAUUUUUAAUUUUAUUAGUUGUCAUUAACUAUAUAGAACAAUGAGAGAUUGAGGAGUAGUUGAGAUCUAAAGGACAGCGACUACAAUUAAACAAAUGAGCCUCCGCCAUUAAGAUACAAUAAAUUUUCUAAUAAAAUUAAAAUAAGUUGAUAAAAGGUAUAAAUCAAAUCAACAAUGGUUUGUUUGGUUUAUUUAUUUUAGACUCUGUAACCUAAAUAAAAAUUCACUGACUCAGAUAGUAGUUAUUAGUUUUGCAAGAAUUGGAUUCCGAUUCUCAUUUCAUUCUGAAAUAAAAAUGAUUCAAUAUAUUUCUUUUCUAAUUUGGUUUUGAAUUCUGGAUUAACUCAUUCUAGAAUAAACUAAUCAAAACUCUCUCCCACAAACAUCCUUCUCUCCUCUUUCCUCAUCAUUCUCUUCUCACUUGUCCAAAACAUUCUCUCAAAAUCGAUAAAUGAUCCAAUUGUUCAUUCCAAUUUUUAUUCUAAAAUAAAUCGAAUAUUUAUGGAUCAUCCACAUUCUACUUACUAUUGUAAUGCAAUUUAGUUUAAUUGCCUAUUGGCAUGGUAAUCAUGAAUCAAACUAAUAACAGGUAAAUUACACUUUGGUCCUCAAAUCAUGGGGCGCAUAACAUUUUAGUCCUCAAACUUUCUGAAUUAUAGCAAUAUCGUAAAUAAUUAUAUACAAUGAUAAUUAAAAUGCUAUGUCACUUAGACAUUACUAAUUAAUCGAUCAAUACUUAUUCAAGAAAAUUAAAUUGUGAGAUUUGACUAUAAUAAUUCAAAAAGUUUGAGAAUUAAAAUAUUACAUGCCUUAUAGCUCGAACAAGAAAUGGCAACUAAUUAAAGUUUAAGAAGUAAAGCUUCACGGGACUAAUAGUUUGAGCCAAAAAUUACAAUAUGUUAAAUUUCGAGGAUUGAAGUUUCAGCCCCCUCAUAGUUUGAGGAUCAAACGCGUAAUUUUUUUAUUCUAAAGAACAAUGUUAGAGAUAAACUCAUAAUUGGGUAAAAGAUCUACUACACCUAUUUCAUCCAAGGGUGGAUGUGUUUUACUAGUCACAUGAUGUGACUAAUGGGUAAUUCUUCACUUAUGAAUGAGUGGAGAGUAAAAUGUACACACACUUUUCGAUGUACAACUAGUUUUUUUUUUUUUUUUUGUCCGCUGUAAAAGUUGAGUAAGUCAAUUUCAAACUAAGAUACAUAGCACAUAAGUCUCCUACAUUUUGCUAGCAUUAGUAAGUUGGGGUGCCUCGGUGCUCGGUACACAAUGUCGGUGUUUAGCCUAACUAUUAAAAAGUGAUUCUAGGUCCAAAAAUAAUUUUCGAUUCAAUAGAGCAUUUGACAAUCUCGUUUUUAAAAUCUGACUCUAAUUUUUAUAAGUAGUUUUUUUUAUUUUCGAAAUUCAAAAUUAGAAGCAGCUAAGACCUGAUUUUUAGAAUAAAUUUUUUGAUUUUCGAGACCCAAAUUUAAAAAAUAACUAAGACUCGCUUCUUGAAAUCUAAUUCUGAUUUUGAACUCAGAUUUUAAAAUUGUAUUUUAAUUUUAGAUUUAAAUUUUAAAUUUAAAUUCAAAUCUACUUUUUAAAUUUUAUAUUUUUAUGCAAAUUUAAGAUGGAGAAUUUCAAAUUUAAAAAUUUAAAUUGAAAUUAAAAAUUUAAAUUUAAAUUUAAUAAUUUAAAUUUAAAAUUUAAAAUUAUUUUUAAAUAAAAUUUAGUAAAAAGAUUAUUAUAUGAAAAUAUCAAAAAAAUUUUGCCAAACAUUUUUUUCAAAACUACUUCAGAAAAAUUAUUUUCAUCUAAACUUUGCGAGACACUUUAUAAUUUUUAAUCAAAAUUAAUUCUCCAAACCAGAAUUAAUUUUAUAAAAAUUACUUUUUGCAGAAUUUAGGCCACAUAAAUGCUGCAAAAAGGGUCUCGUUGGUUGGAUUGAUGAUUAAUGGCAAUGUAGACGUCCUGGAGGAGAGAUCCAACGGUGGGUGGCUGAGCUGGACUCAUCGGACGGCUGCGAUUGGGCGGGAAGUGGUCACAAUUGGGGCAAAAUCAGUAAUUACUUAGCGGAGGUAAUUAAUAAGCUGUUACAGCUCCCACCAACCUGCGUGGUAUCGUCCUCGCUAAUUAAUUUGCGCCACGCGUCCAAUUAGGUGGUACAGCAUGGCCUCUGUACCCCUUUUUCCCCCUUUUUUUUUUUUUUUUCCUUGUUUUCAUUUUCAUUCGGCUUCAUUCUCACUGUAUAUGAUGGAUAGAAAAUUAAAAUAAUUAAUAUAUGCUGGUGUAAUUACCCACGUGAUGUGGCAGAUAGGUAUAUUAUCGAAGUAAUUUUUUUAUAUUAUAGUUGAUUAACAAUGAUAGUCAGAAAUUAUAUAUACAUACAUAUAUAUCUAUACUAGUUAUAAAGGAGGGGGUUUUAAAAUUAAUUGAGAAUUAAAAUUUCUAUAUCCAAGUGAGAACACUUUUUAUAAAUCAAUCAUAUUAGCGAGUACACCAGAACAGUAGAGUGUUCUGAGUAUCGUAGGUAGUUAGUAUCGCUCUUUUUUUUUUAUCUUUAAGGCACUCUAAUUCAUUUCUUUCGUUUUUAUUUUAUUACAAUAAAAUAUAGGAUAAAAUAUGAUAUGAUUUAUUUUAGGAUAAAAAAUAUAUAUAAAUUCAAAAUCAAGCAUGAUCACUUACUUGAGAGCUAAUAGUCAAUCCAUAAAUAACAUAUUAUAAUAAAAUAAUUUAUAGUCAGGAGCCCUAUAGGAUAAAUUGCACUGCUACCUCCUGAAUUUUUGACGAGUUUCACUUAACCCCCCAAACUCCUAAAAUAGAUAUCUAACAUACUAAACUUUAAUAUUUCAUUCGCUUUACCCCUUCCGUCAGUUUCCGGUUAACAGAGCUUGACGGAAAAUUGACGGAAUGGAUAAUAUGAAUGAAAUAUUAUAGUUUAGGGUGUUAAAUGUCCAUUUUAGGAGUUCAAGGAAUAAAGUGAAACUUCGCUAAAAGUUCAGAAAGUAACAAUACAAUUUACUCUAUAUAUAUAUAUAUAUAUAUAUAUAUAUAUAUAUAUAUAUAUAUNCUAGAUCAUGUUCAACGGUGCCGAUCGUCGAUUUGGAAGCUCUAUCAUCAAAAACAAAUCGGUAGUAAACCGAGCAGUUUGCUACCGAUGGUAGCCCAGUCACUCUCUCUCUCUCUCUCUCUCUCUCUCUCUAUAUAUAUAUAUAUAUAUAUAUAUAUAUAUUACUCUAAAUAGAGAGAGAGAUUUGGAGAGAGGUGGAAGUCGACAACACCGAUGCCAUCGUCGGCCUUAUCAAUGACGUGUAUAAUGUCACGCCCCGGAUUACACUUUCCCCGGGCACGCCGACAAAUCCGCCGUAUACAAAGGAAUUUCCCCUGUAUACGAAGCGAUAGCUGUACCUGUAAAUCAAACACUACUACAAACAGUAGUAGAGAGCUGCUAGAGAAAACUGAAGCUAAAUAAAACAGAGUUUCAUAUACAUAGAUCAGAUCCAAAAUACAGAGCUACUCGCACUGGCGAGUUAAGUCAACUAUGUACAUAAACUCGAAACAAAACAUCUACCUGCAGUAGGGCACCUCUAGCUCAGCACGUCGGGUAGGGCUCUAACUCGCGACGCCCUUGCCUCGAUCCUGGUCCGCAGACGGUGCAGCAGCCGAAGCCGGUGGCUCUGCAAAAACAUAGGUAACAACUGGGCGUGAGAACUACUGUAAAAACAAGUAGUCCUCAGUGGGUACCGCCCAAAACAACAUCGGUCACCCACUAAGUCUACAGAAGGGAGUAAGGAUAGAAGGAAAGCAGGAAGCAUACUCUACCGCUAUCACCCACUACACUAUCAUGCUCUACACUAACCCACUGUAGGAAAUGUCAAAUCUGACCCAAUCCAAGUCGGGACUGUAAGCAUACCCGUCCCCGGGACUGUGAAUACACCCGUCCCUGCCCCGUUGCGACUAUCGGGCUCUAUCCACUCUAACUGGUCCGUGGAGAGCAAGUCCAACUGGCAUGAGCGACACCAACGCAAAAGCACAAGCCUGACUCCGGAGUGGCACUCGUGGGCGCUACCCAACCGAGUAUGCAGCGUAUCUCUGUCGAGCUCAAUCAGUCGCUCCAGACCUAGCCAGACUCAAGGUAGUCGACUCCUAAAUGGUUUAUAACCAACAGGUAACGUCCCUCGGCACCAAACUGACGCAAAGCAAAGGCGAUACACGGGUCCCCACCGUCCAACUCUGACGCACCCAAACAGUCGGAACAACCUGAACGACCCCUGUAAAAAUGCCACCCGGCGAACCUAGCACGAGUUAAAAAUGGCGUAAAAAAACGGUGGUGUAAAUUUAAGGGGUAUGGUUAAAAGGUAAAAAAAUGUGGCUAAAAUACAUUCAAACUACCUGCGAGUACUCGUCUCGAAGCAACUGCGACAAGUACAAUUUUCUGACGGCUCCUAGAGAUAAAUCAAGGUAGUUAAAACUGGUGACAGGUCCAAAUCGCAAGUUUUCCCUAAUUCAAUUUCCAAGUCCAACAUGUAUAAUCUAAUUACUUAAUAAAAUAAUGCUCGCCAAAUUCAGAUUUGCAUUCUAGAUAAUAAGUCAUGAAUUUGAGCCUAAACUAUUGUAAAGAAAUACGAUUUUAUACAUGUCGACUAAUAAUACUUAGGAGUAAUACGAUAGAACCCACCUAAGUGCUAUCUCCGCCAGCAAACGAACGCCUCGGCCUAGAAGGAAACUCUGCGGAUCAAUCGGGGAUCUCCAAGGUCCGGUCGGCCAAGCCAACGCCUAAGCUAGAGACGACAAAAAUCCACCAAUUCAGUCCCCGUUCACACAGACCUGAGAAAGGUUCCAGUUUUGACCAAUGCUAAACUUGUCCAAUAAUAUGCAUAAUUGAGGCUCUGUGGUAUAUCGCUCGCUGUCUAGAAUUCCAAUAACCAGUUUUUUCGGUUCCGCGAUCCGACGCUCCUACGCGGAGAACGAGCCGAAAUACUAACAGUCGACGCAGGAAAUCUGUGAAAAUCAGCACUAUGCUCGUUUGAAGAUGGUUGAGGUACUCGAGGUAAUUGCGACCAAAUUACCUACCUCAACAGCGAUGAACAGCGGUGCGGCGGACAGGAAACGGCGAAGACGCACCCUCGCCCGGCCGCUCGCAGCGCCCGGCAACACGUGCGCUCGAUUGGCUCGCGGCGCGACUCGGCGACGAAGUCCUCAACCGUUGCUCCGAUCGGCCUAGAGAGAGAGAGAGGGAGAGGAGAUGGUGAAAACUCUCUCUCUCUCAGCCCAAUCCACAGAUAAAUAGAGAGAGGGAAAGAGGGUGACAUGAACGAGGUGGAAUUUUACUGAUUUAGCCCUCCACCAACUCCCUUGUACCGGUACACGGAUUGCUGUACCGGUACAAGGCCAAACCCGAGAGCAUCUGAGUUCUGUCGCACGCUCUGUACCGGUACAAAUGGACCCUUGUACCGGUACAGCAAGCGUCUUUCCAUGAUGGUUGUACCGGUACAGCACAACCUUGUACCGGUACAACAGAGUAAAAAUCCUGCAAUUUCGCAGAUUUUCACACAGAAUGCUGCCCUCGCGUCAAACGGAGUCCGUUUCGCGUCUAUUUGACGCCAACGCAACUCGAGCUUGUCUCGACACUCUCCAGAGCUGUCGACAAGUCCCCACUGACAGAAACUGGGUCUCACAUAUAAUGUAAUGGAGGGGGGGUUGAAGGGCUCCAUUGAUUAUGCCCAUGGCAUUAGGAGAGGAAACGGUAGACGUUUUAGACUUCGAAAAAAAAGAAGGUAAAUUGGAAGGAUCCCUGUUGAAAAGUAUGUCAUUCUCAUUUUCUCCACAAUUACUCUAUUAAAUGAAAAAUGUGAAGAGAUUAUUCUAUUAAAUAGAAAGUUAAAUGCUAUUAUUCCAUUAAAUGGAAAGGUUAGGAGAUUAUUUGAUUAAAUAGAAAGGUAAAUAGAAGAUGAAAGGAUUAGUCUAUUAAAUAAGAAGGUAAAUGGGAAGGUGAAGAAACGACACUGUGAGAUAAAUCGGAUACAUGAGAGGAAGUAUCUGGUAGAGGUGGGCCUAAUAUUCAACCCAAAGGAUGAAGGAGGUGAUAAUAACACUGGUAGCUAGAUAGGCCCAAGUUCAACAGAAUUAAUCUUUCACGUCGGAUAAAAGUUAUAGGAAUUAAUAGUUUUACUAGUGUAGAUACCCGCAGGAUGCAGCAGGUAGAUAAUUGAAACAAAAUUUUAAAAUUUUAAUAAAAUUUAUAUUUACAAUUUAUUGAUGUAUAGGAAGCUAUACCAGGUUAAGCACAGCCAAUUUGCAUUACUAAAUUCAAUUGUUAAAAAAAUAAAAUUAUAGCUAGAAGCUUAUAUAAUUUUUUAAAAAUUAUCGAAAUAUAGUAAGAGAUAUACAAUUUUAUCAUAUUAUGUGCCUUUUGAACAUUCCAUUGUAAAAGAUAAAAAAGAGCCAGCUCUAGUUGAAUCAAGCACCUCUGUUUAAGUAUCAAAACAGAUUGAGAAUAUGAAACACUUAAAUAAUAAGUUAAUGUAUCUGGCUUAAGAAAAUUUUGGGUGAGAUCUCAGGCUCCAAUCUCUACAUCAUAUUUUUUAGUUUAUGAAAAGAACUUGACCUACAAUAGUGCCUACUCAAAAAGAUGGUCAUGGGAUGAAAAUAAAACAAAACAUAAAUUAAAAAAAAACUAAUAAUUUUUUGGAGCACUUUUUCAUCCACGCGAGCUUACUCAUCCAAAUCUCAUACAUCUUCUUAAUUUUCAACUGGUAGUUGCUCCCCGCGCUAAGUUGCUUUUGGAUUUCCAUUGCCACCUAUGAACAAACACCUCAUCUGCAUCACCAAACUGUGACAUCUAAACCAACAUAGCCUUGCUAUCACAUCAACCAGAAACUCUAAUUCCCAAACAAUUUGGAUUUAUCAAGAAAUUCCUACAAUUCUCGAGAAGCGAGCUCCCGCACAGCGUCCCCUUGAAGAGGAGGCUUAGGACGCCGCUCGCCUCGGCCCAGUUGUGGGCGCACGCGAGCCGCACGAGGAGGCAGCCGAGGCGGCGGCUGUUCACGGCUAGUAGGGACCCCAACGCUGAUGGCCUAGUGGACACUUAUAUAGGCCCCGGCUCGACUUCGUAGGACGAUGCUUCUUGAAGGAGGGAACAUUCUUUGCAUACUUUUCUUCUUCUUCUUAUGUUUUUUCUUCUUCAUUGUCCUCAUUAUUUUCAUUAAUACAAUGAGAGAGAGAAAUAUGAGCAUGGUGGUGGGAGAUUAGAUGAUAAUGUUGCAUGGAAAAUAACAGGCCAUGCAAAAGAGAGAGGGCGGGGAGAUUAAUGGAGGAGGGGAAUGAAUUGGAGUUAUAAAACCCACUCAUUAGUGGGGGACAGGAUUAAUGGAGAAGGGGAGUGGACUGGAGUUAUAAAGCCCACUUAUUAGUGAAAUAUAGUGUGGGCGUGUUUGGUUAGCUUCUUUUUUACCAUGAAAUUGGAAUCGGAAUCGGAAUGGGCGAAUUUGUUUGUAGGUGUUUGGUACAUAGGAGUUCCAUUCCGAUUCCAAUUCCUGAGUGGAAUGGGAAUCCCCCAAUCACCCCUUUUCCAAUCCGGCCUAGGAGGCCGGAUGGGAAGUUGGAUCCAUACGGAAUAGACAUUUAUUAGGAUUAAAUUUAUUUUUUCAACUUUUUUAAUUAAAAUAUGAGUUUAAAUUUAGAAAUCAAAUAUAUAAUUUUAAAUUUUAAUUUGAAUUUGAAUUAAAAAUUAAAAUUUCAUCAAGUAUUUCGAAUCUAACUUAUGAAUUUGAAUUUAAAUUAAAUUUUAAUUUAUAUAAAGUUUUAUUCAAUUUUAUUUAAACUUAAAUUAAAUUUAUGGACUCAAAUUAAAAUUUAAAUUAUAAUUUUAAGUUUGAAUUUGAAUAAAUCAAAAUUUAGUUUCAUAUUUUGAAUUAUCCACUCAACUUCAAAGUUUAUUUUUUUUAAAAAAAAAAUAGAUUUAAAAUUUUGACAUUAUUUCAAAAUUUUGAUGUAAAUUUUUAAUAUUUAAUUUUCAAUUUGAAUUUAAAUUAAUAUAUUAUAAAGAUAAAGUUAGUAUAUUAAUUUGAUUACGUUUUUUAUAUCUACCUGAAUUAACCAAAUACCGAUAAUAGGAAUGAUUUAUUUCGAUUUCGAUUUAGGUGAUGAACCAAACAGAAUUAGGUAAUGAGUCAUUCCGAUUUCGAUUCCAUCUUAUUUCGAUUCCGAUUCUGAUUCCGAUUCCGAUUUUGAACCAAACACGCCCUGUAUGUAAUUAAAUAUUACACCAUGAAUUGAUUAAUUUAAUCUCGAGGUGAGUGCUAGGAAAAUCACCAUUGAAAGAGAAAGAGCCAAGAAAGAGCCAAUGAAGGGAGGAAUUCUACACUGUCACACUUGCAGCACGUUAUCAAUAACAAGCCAAUCACAUUCCUUCUUUUCAAAUAAAAGUACAAUAAAAAUACUUUUUUAUAAUCAUGAUGGGACAUAUAUUCUUAAAAGGAUUAAUUUGAUUGGUUUGUUACGCCACGUCACUAAUAUACCCGUUGUAUUCUAGAAUUUUUCCAAUGAAGGAGGUAGCGCCACGUUGGAUAAGCAAUCGAGGUUUAAUAGAGGGUUAGAGAAGAUAUAGAUUAGGUUGUAAAUAUGCACUCAGCAACGUCUCCUUCUCGCUCAUCUGUCCGUCGCCUUCGCUGCUACUGUACUAUGUUUACAUUGCAUUUAUGCCACAACUUAGUCUACACCAGAUAAUUAAUAACCAGAGAAUAAACAUCAUUCUAUAUAUAAUAUACCCACGGAUUCAUACCUGUUUUAUUGGUGAACUUUAUUGGACAUGUCAUAUUAAUGGAAUAUCAGAACUCGAUCUCUCAACUUGCCAUGUACCACAGCCAUUGACAAUGUAGGCAUUAAGUCAAAGAUCGGUGACCUUUCAUUGUACAAAAAAAAUAAUAAUAAUAAUAAAAAAAUAAAAAUAGAAAAAAGAGGCUUCUAGAGCUUUUAAUAAUACAUAAUUUAUUUUUAGGUAAACUUCAAAUACCACACAUAUGGUUUCAUACUUUUUCACUUUAGUACCGUAUGAUUCAAAAUGUAUCAAUAUAGUACCUUAUGAUUUCAUUUUUUUUUUCUCGUCAGCUCCUUCGUUAACAUUUUGUUCAAUUAUAUACAAAAAAUUUUAGAUGCCCCAUCUAGGUUAAUCGAAUACUCACUUUAGCACAUUUUAGUAUUAACUUUGCCAUUGAUUUAAUGAAAAAAAUUAGUGGAGAGAAUAAUAAAAAGAGAAAAAUAAAACUACGGAGUACUAAAUUAAUACACUUUAAGACAUAGGGUACUAAAAUAAAAAAGUGCGAACUACAGGAGUGGCAUUUGAAGUUUUUUUUUUAUUUUUAUAAUUCAUAAAGAUGUACUGGGUUUUUCUAAAAGAAUUUUAGAACCAAGCAAUUAACCCUAAUUUUGAGCCUCUAUAAUUAUUAUAGUUGAUUCCUUUUUGUUACUAUCAAUUGAUUACACGAGAGUGUCACCACAUGUCUAUUAAAAUCCAUCCAAUAAUUAUUGUGACUAUCCGAACCGUUGGCUAAUUUUCAUUAAACAAAAAGAGAACUCUUUAAUCGAUUUUCUUCUUCAAUUCCUUCUCUAGUAUAAUCAUAUAUCUUCUCAGAACUUUCUUUUUUUUAAUAUCUGUUAAUUUUUUUGAAUCUCCUUCCAUUUCCUUUAAAACUCUUAUUGAUUUGUAAAAUUGUUUCUUCUGAUGAUCGAAAUUAAGAAUUAUUCUUUGUGUUUAGACUAGAGUUGGAUAUUUUUAGAGAUUUGAUGCUAGAUCUGAGUUCUGAAUACUCUUUAUUUCUAUAUUUUUAUUUAUUUGGGCUUAAUGUUGGAGUUUGAAUUUUUUUUUCCUUCUGCGGAUUGAGAACUAGCAUCCAAAUAUUUUCUUUUUUCUUUUCCUUUUUUUUUUUCUAUCUUCGUCUUGAAUGGGGAUCGACAAUAGAUCGAUUCCUAUUAUUUUACUCUGAUUAGUAUGGAAUCCAACAUAUAAAUUUUUUUUUUGAUUAUUUUAUUUUGAUUUGGUUAGAAAUGGUCAUCAAUAUCUCAUCCUUUUAAAAGUACCUGUGAACAUGUUGUCGGAUGAUGGAAAGCCGCCCAACCAGGAAUGCCAAAAAUCCGAAUCCUAAUUUGACUAUCAAAUUCGAAAUUCGAAAUUCAAAUAUGAUUCUAAAUUUGACAAAUUUUAAAAAUUUAUAUUCAAAUCCAGACCCAACUAAAAAUUCAAACUCGAACCCUAACUUGAAUCCAAACCUGAAAACUCGAACCGUAACAAUUAUUUCUCUUUAUAAUAUUUCAAAAUACAUUAUAUUAAAUCUAAAUUUUAAAAUACAAAUUUAAAUAUAAUAUCAAAAAUUUAUAUAUAAUAUUUCAAAAUAUAUUAUAUUAAAUCUAAAUUUUAAAAUAUAAAUUUAAAUAUAAUAUCAAAUAUUUAUAUAUAAAUUUUGUCUGUACUUGGGAUCAAGCCAAGUACAGACAAAAUUCAUGCCCAAAUCUAAAUCUAUUGGAUUUUCAUUCUUUACAUCCGUACCUGAAACUAUAUCCCUUUAAAAUUGACAAAAUCCGCUCCGUUAACAUAUUCGUGUUCGGAUAAAAUUAUGGGGAUCAAUAUCUAUUGACAUUCCUGAGCCCAACCGCAGAAGCAGCUCUAAUUGAGCUCUUUCUCAUAUUUUUUAUUUUUUUUCCCAACCUAUUUUUUAGAGGUUACACUUUUUUCGUUUAGAAUUCAAAAAUUUAAUUUUAAUUUAUGUUUAUAUUUUAUAUUUAAAUUAUAUUUCGAAUUAAAUUUUGAGAUUCAUCAUAAGAAUUUUUAAAAUUUCAAUUUUAAUUUUAAAUUUUGAUCUUGGGUUCGAAUUUCAAACCUAAAUUGUAAUUCUAAAAUAGAACAUUAAAUUUUUUAUUUUAGAUUUACAUUUGAAAUUUAACUUAUUUUGGUUUAGAAUUUUUAAUUCAAACUCAAGCUUAAUUUCAAAUUCAAAUUCAAAUUUCUUCUCAAAUUUAAAUUUAAAUUUACAUUUUAAACUUAUAUUUUAAAUUCAAUUUCAAACUUUAAUUUUGAAUUCCAAAUUCAAAGCUUGAAUUUUGAAUUCAAAUUUUAAACCCAAAUUUAGAUUUUAAAUUUGAAUUCAACCUAAACUAAAUUUUAAUUUGAUUUAUUUUUUUUUUUAUAUUUUUUAAUUUGUUUGUAGACUGUAGUAACUUAACAAAGUUUUUACUUGUAGUGUCCCUGGUGUCUAGCGGUCGGUGUGAUUUCAGCAUCUGAGACUUGUUGAUAUGCCUGGAGAGUGUCGGGACGAAUCAGAGUCGUUUUGAUGCGAAAUGGACGCAAAACGAAUGCAGAGCGACGCGAGAGUAGAGUUCUGACACUGAAAUCUGCAAAGUACAGAAUUUUAGUGUUGAGUAUUGGUACAUGAGGAGGAGUAGCGGUACCCCCAUGUAAUGACAGAACUGGAUUGCUCUUGGGUUUGUGUAUAUCUGAUGCUGAGUACAGGUACAUGUUGUCGAGUACCGAUAUUGAGCUCGGGUACCGGUACUGCAUCGGGCUGGUAUCGGUACCCAGUGUGCGAGAUCGCAGUUUGAGGGGCCGAGUACCAGUAUUCAAGCUAAGUACCGGUACUCCAGCUGGAAAAGUGAGUUGGUAAGGGGUAGUUUGGUCUUUUCAAAUGUCGUUCAUUCUAACAUUUGCCCAGCCUAUAUAUAUACACGGUAGGGUGUUUAGAGAGGGGAUGCUGCUUCUUUUCCUCUCUUUCUCUAGCUGGUGGUUGCCGUGCGUCGGAAAGGUCGAGGCUUGAGCUCGUUCGGAUUUGACGAUUCUCGGAGGACCUUUCGUGCGUGUGGGUGUCGUGGUUGAGUCGUUAGAGAUCAGGCGAACGAGUGGGUUCCCUCCUAUCGACUUCUAGCCAACGUUGGACGAGCUUUUGGAGGUGGGUUGAAUGUUUACCGAAAUCAUCGAAUUUCCUCCUAAGUCUAGAGUUGACAGCAUGUAGUUAUUGUUUUGGUUAUCAUAUUAGUAGUUCAAAUUCAUCGAUUUGCAUAGUUUAUGGAAUCUGAAUUCCGGAGUCUUAUUUUUAGAAGCUUUUUAUAUGUUGAACUGGAAAUUGACUUAAGAGAAAACACGUUAAACCCUGCACUGUCAUUUUCUAAAAAGUUAUCAGAUUUAGCUGCAGGAGCCGUGGUUUUUUUCUAUCCCCGCUGUUAGUGCGAAUUGGAUACACAUAUUAGUGUAGAGUGAGUUUACGUUCGUGUUGGAAGGCCGAGUUCGUUUUACAGUUGUGUAUAGACUGUUUCGUACGGUAAAUUGCCGUCGUGGUUGGCGGUGGACUUAGAUUUGCAUCUGAUUGUGCCAAGGGCACGUGAAUUUUGAUUGUUAUGCCAGUUAGACUAUUUUGCAUUGACUAUAGCCUGUGAGAGCAUGAUUGAGCUCGGCAGAGACACUCUUGCAUACUCGGUUGGAUCGCACCCACGAGUGCCGAUCUGGAGUGAGACUUUUUACUUGCGUUGAUGUCGCAAUCGUCCUGUUUGGACCGUUUACUUGGACCAGCCAUCCCUGUGGGUGGUGUACGGUGUAGCUUGGUUACUGGCCGGAUGGGUCCGUUUGGGCAGCCCUAGUGAGAUUAGGUCAAUGUGAUAUAUCUACAGAUAGAUUGUGUUGGUUAGCGAUAGUAUAGUGGCAUGUAGUUGUAGAGUUCUUUCCAGCUUUCUUUACUAUCUUUUGCAUAUCUUUCUAUAGACUUAGUGGGUGAGUCGUUGAGGUCGGUGACGGUACCCACUGAGGAUUACUCUUUUUACAGUAGUUCUCACACCCAGUUGUUGACACCUUUUUGCAAAGACCUCGUCUGCGGUUACUGUUGUUGCUGAUUCGGACUGUAGGAAGGGAGUCGCGAGCUAGAUCCCUACCAGUCUGGUCGUCGUGUUAGAGGAGUACCAUAUAGAGAUAGUUUUGGGGUUGUCUGUCUACAUAUUGUUAUAUUGUCGUUGUACUCGUUGGAGCGAGAUGGGUCGUGGACUUUUGUAUGUAUAGGAACUCCCCUUUUGUUAUAUAUAUAUAUAUUUAUGUUUCAGUUUAGCAGCUCUAUACAUUUGGUUGUAGCAAUAACUUGCUUACAGGUACAGCUAUCGCUUUGUAUACACGAAAAUUUUCUAUGUCUACGGCGGGCAGGUCUGUUGGCGUGCCCGGAGAAACAUGGUAAUCCGAGGCGUGACAUUACCAAACAACUUUUCCCAACAAAAGUAGCCAAAUGUUUUACAGCUUUUUGUUUACAGCAAUACUAUUUUAUAAGGGUAAACUUCAAAUACCACUCCUGUGGUUUCGCACUUUCUCACUUUAGUGCCAUGUGGUUUAAAGUUUUUCAAGUUAGUGUCCUGUGAUUUUUUUUUUAAUCUUUUCGUCAGCUUUUUCGUUAAUAUUUCGUUAAAUUAUAUACAACAAAUUCAGAUACCACACUUAAGCUUUAUCGAAUAUUGACUUUAGGGCCCGUUUGGUUCGAGUUAUGUAAUAUUACAAAGUAUCUCGAUAUAUUCAGGUAUUUUAGAUUUCGGCGUGAGAUUACUACUAAUGCUGCAUUAGAGCGUUUGGUUUAAUACAGUAAUAUAAUACUAGAUUACAGUAUUUAUAGCAUUAAUAUGUUUGGUUCAGUUUAUAAAAUUUAGUAAUCCUGAUAUAAAAGUAUAGUUUUUUCCAAAAUUAUCCUUGUUGUGGUCAUUUGAAUAUUAUUUUUUACGGAAAUGAUGUAUGGAGGGAAGGAGAUCGUGAUGAUUAUUUGGGAGGAGACGCAAUAGAAGAUGAUAGGUGUGCGUGAGAGAGAGAGAGAGAGAGAGAGAGAGAGAGAGAGACGUCGAGAGAGAAAGCGAGAGAAAACGGCGUGCGAGAGAGAGGGCCAGGGGACGGCGAGAGAGAUGAAAAUAAUACUGUUAAUUAGAUUUUGGGUUGUUGGAGGGUAAAAUUGUCAUUUUACAUAAUAUGUAGUAUUAACGGGUUUCAGUAAUGCAAGAUACACGACCCCCCUCCCGUUAAUAUUUUCGAUGUAAUCCUACUCGAUUUGUAAUGUUACAUUAACGACUAGAUUACAUAGCGGAUUAACCAAACACAGUUAUCCUGACAGGAUUGCCUGCAAUCCUGCCAGGAUAACUCGAACCAAACGCACCCUUAGUAUUAUUUAGUUUAACUUUGUCACUGAUUUAAUGAAAAAAAAUUAGUAGAAUUGAUAAUAAAAAAUAAAAAUGAAACCAUACGGCAUAAAAUUGAUACACUUUAAACCACAGAGUACUAAACUGAAAAAGUGUGAAACCAUAGGGGUGGUAUUUGAAGCUUUCCCAUUUUAUAAAGUGCUUGUUCAACAGCACUAUUCCUCGAAGCUAAGCCAAACAGGGCCAAAGUCAACCCAAAAAAAGGCCAACCCACCC